This 65490-nucleotide long non-coding RNA is filed under the name Ananas comosus (pineapple). RNAcentral describes it as "long non-coding RNA (ACOM_LNC006296)". Lineage: Eukaryota; Viridiplantae; Streptophyta; Magnoliopsida; Poales; Bromeliaceae. The record is from RNAcentral.
CUAGAAAUGUAGCUCGUCGUUUGUGAGUGUGUUCGUGUUCGGCUGAAAAUAAGUUCGAAAUGGAGCUUAAUGUCUAUGCACGAAGGCCCUGAUGAGUUGGUGGCUUGGUGCCCCAUAUAACUUUAAAUUUUAAAUUUUAAAUUUUAAUUUUUAAUUUUUAAUUUUUUAAAUUUAAAUUUUAAAAUUUAAAUUUUUUUAAUUUUUAAUUUUUAAUUUUUAGAUUUUUAAUUUUAAAUUUAAAUUUAAAGUUUAAAACUUUGAAUUUUCAAAUUUGAGAUUUAAAAUUUAAAAUUUAAAAUUAUAUAUAAAUUUUAAAAUUAAAAUUAAAAUUUUAAAUUUUAAAUUUAAAUAUAAUAUAAAGGACAAUAUUAUUAUUUUUUAUUUAUAAUUACCCACUAUUCUUCUUAUUCCAUCUUAUCUAUCUAAACGUUAUUUUUCUUAUUCUUAAAAACAACUCAAUUUUCAUUCAAAUACAAAAUUGACCUAUCCCACACUUAUACUUGAACUUAUACCUAUUCUUGGAAUAUGCACUUCUCACUUAUACUCGAAUCAAACGAAGCCAUAAUAAAUAAGCGUACACAAGCAAGUCCCAACUUGCUCGUGUUCGGCUCAUUGAUAGCCCUGGUAGCCGAAGUCUUAAGUUUAAAAUUUAAUUGCUUCAUAUUUUCAGCUGAAUUAAUUUAAUAAAAAUAAGUGAAAUAAUAAAAAUAAAUGGAAGAAAGAGGGAUAGGAAUAAUGACGCACCAACUGCCUCUGAAAUCCUGAACCAUGCAAGGACUAUGUGUGAAUGAAGAACGUCCGGUUUGAUGCCACAGGGAAGAGUUGUUAGAACAUCUAUUCUUUGGGAGUACUAAUGGGCAAUUACUGCUAAAGGAAUCUUCCAAUUUGUAUGAAUGUAAGAUAAUGGUUAUUUUUAUUUGUGAAAAAACAGAUCCAAAAUAGUUUUAACAUUCAUUUCUACUUACAUGCAUGCAUGAUUAAGAUCAAAAAAAUCAUGCAGCCACUCACACUGAUAGGAGAUUAUAAAGAUGUGCAAAUGCGGUUUCAUUUAUAACAAAUAGAAGAGUUUAUUUUUACGUAUGAUGUAGUAGGAUGGCUUAAAAUUCAAUCUAAUUAAGUUAUAGAGAUGUUUGAUAAGAAUUUCUAACCGCAAAUGAUGCAUGAGUCAUAUUUCAAAUGUGAUAAUUAAAUAUGACACUAGGUAUGAAAUCUUAACCACAUAUAAGUAACUGUUAUAUUAUAAAGCUAACUUAUCAACAGUAUUUUAAGAGUACAUUUCAAAAAAUGCAAUAUUAUUUUAUAUAUUUAUUAAUUAGACUAGAGGAAUAUAAACAAAGUUUUUUGCGGUAAAAAUCAGAAUGCAUCUCAUUUAUCUGCGGAUUGAGAACCAAUCAAAUUUGCACAUGAGAGCAAAUAAAUUCCUACUCUCUCACCUUAACAAGAGACAAUUUUUUAAUUUAUUUUUCUAAAUAAUAAACUUAUCUGAAAAUGUAAAAUAAUUAGAUUUCAAACUUAAAAUCUUAAGUAUCAACCACUAAACUUUUUAUCACUUAUAUUAGGGACAGUCAGCCUUAAUAAGGUGACAAUUAAUACCAUCUAUUAAACAUUCCGGAAGAUACAACCAAAUGAAUCAACAUUAACACGUAAGUAUCAAGCUGCUGUUGCACAUGUAUUUGGGUACGGAUCUGAUGAACUGUCCCAGAUUAUAUGGAUUUAGUAGAAUUCCUACACGGAAGGUGCCAGCAUUUAAUUACUUGCACCAAUCAUUGCACUAUACAUUUUGUGCUAUUUAGUUUUUUUGACCGUACAUUUAGUUUUUUUGUGCUAUGAUUAAAAAAUUGUAAUAAGUAUUAGGGAAAAGUGUUGCCCCCUCAGUCCCUCACAACGAGUUUUCUUAGCAGAUUCAUGUGGUCGAAAACUACAAAGUUUAGUUCCCAAAUUUCUAUUCCGAAUUGUAAAUAGUAACUGGUUGAAAACUAAAGUAUAAUAUAAUGAGAAACUCAGAAACUAUACUUACUAAAUGAAGUUCGCACAAGAAUCUGCUUAUUAGUCAAAGUGAUGCUUUAAUGGGGCCUAUACACCUUAUUAGUCCAAACUGUUUCCGCCUAAUUCCCAUUGCCAAUGAUCGCCGUAAAUAUCGGCUUGAUCAACAUUAUUAAAUUAAGCUGAUCAAUCCAAGCACCAAAGUUGACCAAAAGUGUGACUCGAUAUUUGACCAGUAUCUGUAUAUCAUGGAUUGUAAUUCAUACGAGAUUUUUUUUUUUUUGAGCGACAUUAAUUAGCUAUUCAUCAUACAUACAGUAAGGUAAUAAUACGCUUAAAUAAUAACCUGCUUAAUAAUGAAAAAGGGGAAUAGAUUAGAUGCCUUUGUUGACUGAAGGGUCAACUAGAUUGUUUGAUAGUUAGACAGAUAGACAGACAGACAGCCAAAACCAGAUAGAUAGAUAGAUAGAUAGACAGCGAGGUGAAUUUAUUUUUGGCGCGCUCAUUUAAGGUCUUUAUCAUAGUGCUCAAAACAGAAAAAUUUCAGAGCAUCAUAACCUAACCAGAUAAGGUCCAUGUUACAUCUCGGUGGUCAUUUCAUUCCUAGCAACUAACGUUACAUCUUUGGAAUUAAUCAUAUCAUCAUUCCUAGCAAUUAAUUAACUUCAACCCUCUUAAUAAAGGCCAAUUUCCUCUAAAAUAAUGACUCCUCUAACAAUCAAGCUUCAACAAGCAAUCAGAAAUAAUGGAAGUGGUUGGUUCUACGUACACUUCUACUUGCUACACACCCACACUAUUUCCUGAUGAGAACCUCCCAACUCCCUCCCCAGAUCAAUCACAGAUCCCUAAAUUUUAAUAGUGUGGGUAAUUUUCACUAUCAGAAUCCAAAGUAAAGGCCAUUAAUUGUUGCUUGUUUAAGCACUACAAGUUAUAAAUAUUGUUCUUGGUCUCUGCCUCUUUUCUACAUCACUAUAACACCCCCAUUUUUUGUGGCUCAUAGAGCCUACAUAGCACAGCUUGGCUCCUUCUCUAACUUCCAUCAACUUCCUCAUCAGUUACUAUUUAUCCUCUUUGUGAUGGGACCAAACACUCCCCCUCUAGCUAUUUAUACCACAUGCAAACCCCCCCAACACCCAUACACCACCCCCACUACUACUGCACAUUACUCCGGCCCCCACUCCUUUUGGCCUCCCCUAUUAAGUUUGAACAAUCCCUUUGCUUUAUCCUCACCAAAAUGUCUCGUCUCCUCUUCUCCUUCUCCCUCUUUCUCUUCUUCUUCUUCUUCUUCUUCUUUCCCUUUAUUAAUGCACAACCCUCUCCUGGGUAUUACCCAAGCUCCAGGUUCAGGCCUAUAGAGUUCUACAAAGGUUACAAUAACCUUUGGGGCCCUCAACACCAAUCUGUUUCUCAAGACCAAUCUUCUCUUACAAUUUGGCUUGAUCGCUCCUCAGGUUUUAAUCAUUGAAAUUACCAUUAUCUUGUAUAAACUUUACGUCGGUGCAUUACUAACUCACUAGAUCUGUGUACUAGGAAGCGGGUUUAAAUCGAUACGCCCGUAUCGAAACGGAUAUUUUGCCGCGUCGGUCAAGCUACAAGCUGGCUACACUGCUGGUGUCAACACGGCUUUCUAUGUAAGAAUAGUUUAGCCACUACGAAAUUCGGAGCGAAUUUGUAAAAUCUCUGUUAAUUUUAUUUGAUUUUUGGGGCGUGUGUGCUCGUAGCUCUCGAACAAUGAGGCGCACCCGGGUGACCAUGAUGAAGUGGACAUGGAGUUCCUGGGCACGAUACCGGGCGAGCCGUAUACGUUGCAGACGAAUGUGUACGUGAGGGGGAGUGGUGACGGGCGGAUCAUCGGAAGGGAGGUGAGGUUCCACCUCUGGUUCGACCCGACCGCGGACUUCCACCGCUAUGCCAUACUGUGGAACCCUGAUGAGAUCAUGUAAGUGACAUGCUGUGUAUAGCCACUCUUACUACUAGUACAUAUUUAAGAAAACAAAUUAAGGCCAAGAUAACAAAGACUAAUUAUUCUCUUUUCUUCGAUGAUUAACGCAACAAUAAUAUCUAAUUUUUAUAAGAUAAAGUUCUUUAGGAUUCAAAUUUGAAAAGUUCGAGCACCAACCAAUAAGUUCUUUACCUUAUUUAUGAUAGAGACGGUUGGUUAUAAGAUAAAAGUUUCGGGGACACUUUAAAGAAAGUGUGCGUAAUAUAUUCAAGUCGUGUCAAUGUAUCCAUUUGAAGUAACACCAUAUAGUAACAGGACAAUAGAGAAUAAGGUCAUUUUUAUUUUAAGUAACGCUCACCGUCAACUGUAAAAGCCAUGGCCCACGAGGGUCCACGAGGGUCAAUUAUUAGACAUGCAUGAAAUUAGCGCGACUUUUACGACACCCAUCUCCUUCUCGAAAUAGUUUUUUCUUAUAAUAUAAUCUAAACUAAUCAUAUUAUAUCAAGAAAUAUAGAGAAUAAUUUGAUAGCCUGAAAAUGUUUAAUUAGAUGUUACAAAUUUUUUAUAAAAUAACUGUGUCAAAAAAAUUUGAUUUCAAUGGAAUCUUAUACUAAAUUAUAGUUUAUGAUGAUGGAACAUCCUAAGUGGUUGGAUCGGGCGUGCAAAAUGGUCCAACUCGCGGGUUAAAUAUCCAUUUGGGUCAAGCAAUUGAUCCGAUCCCUUGGAAAAUUUUGUAAAUGUCAUGCCCGUUUAAUAGCCCUAGGUAGGACCCUUGUCGGUGCAAUUUCAAACUUCGAAAUCUGACUAAUUUUUACACCUAAAGACCAAGAUUUUAUUUUGUCAAAAAUAUAUGUCACAUCCUACUAACGUUACCCCGAUUACACUUAAUCAGAGAAACUUUAAAAACAAUAUAAAUAUAUAUUAUAUAUAUAAAAACUAUAUGAACUUAAUUUCUUCCAGUUAAGUACCCGGCUUCAAAUUCUAUAAUAUUCUAUAACUAAUCUAUUGUUCAUAACGGUCGAUGCUCCUUAAAAAAUUGAUAUUCGUCUAUUUGUUUUUUAAGUGUAAACAUAUAUAUAGAGGUAUUCGAGACAUUUGAUCAUUAUAUUACUGUUAAUUAUCCCAAAAUUAAUAAAAUUUGAAAACAAAUUUACAGUAUUUAAAGAUAAUUUUUUUGUAUAUAUUUCGGUACUCUGGGAAAGAAAUCCAAAUACUUAAUUAAAAACAUAAACACUAUUCUCUAGAAAAUAACAAAAUUCGCGAGCAUUCAAAUUGAGCCCAAAUUCAAAGCCUUGUUGUUCAUCUCUUUUUUUUUUCUUGGGGGAGAGAAGAAACAAAUUUAAUUAAAUAUUAAUUAAUUAGGCAAAGGGCUAAAACCUGCGACCUUUAUUUUCCAUCAAUGCAGAUUCUUUGUGGAUGAUGUUCCAAUCAGAAGGUACGAGAGGAAGAGCGAGGCCUUGUUCCCGGACCGGCCCAUGUGGGUCUACGGGUCCAUCUGGGACGCGUCGUCGUGGGCCACCGACGACGGCCGGUACCGAGCCGACUACCGGUACCAGCCGUUCGUCGCGCAUUUCACCGGGUUCAUGAUCGGCGGCUGCACCGCGUUCGCCCCCGAGAGCUGCCGCCCUGUCCCGGCCUCGCCCGCCGGCUCCGGGCUCAGCCCUCAGCAGUUCACAGCAAUGCAGUGGGCCCAGAAUAAUUACAUGGUCUACAACUAUUGUCAGGAUUAUAAGAGGGACCGUUCCCUGACUCCUGAGUGCUAAGUUUGCUUGCCACAUAUGGAUCAGGUCAAGCAGGGCAAGGACAAAAAAACGGUUUUCACUUCAUCUGAGUGUUGAUUUCUUGAGAUGAUCUACUUCUUCUAUUAUUUACUAUUUGAUGAUCGAGUAUUAUUAGCAGCCCUUCUACUCUGUGUUUGUAGUUGAGGCGUUUUUGUGUGCGCGUCUGUGCUUUUUUUUUUAUUUUUUAAUUAUAAUUGUAUGAUGAUGGUGAAGGUGUGGUGCAAUGGUGUUGGCGUCUCUUAUUUUGCUGUUGUUGAGAAGAAAAUAAAAUAAUAAUACAAGAGAGCUCUUAAGUGUAAUGAAUGUUGCAAUUCGCGACGUAGUCACAAGCAUGUGGUGUUUGCUUUCGUAACUUUGUCCUUUAUUCAUCUAUCACAUCAUCUAUUAGAGAUACGUGCAAAAAAAUCAAUUCACAAUAAAUUGGCUGAUAUGACUUUGAUGGUUUCUUUUUAGUGUGGCAAUUGAAUUAGCUAUUUUUUAAAUUAUACAAUUCUUUUAUUCGAAAUGCCAAAGAAACUUGAUAGACACUCUUUCUUUGCAAUUAAUACUUUCUCGUCUUAUUAUAUCCGAUUCAAUCUAGUGUGUCUGUGACACACAAAAAUAGUUCAAAAUAUAUUUCCGAAAAUGCACGGAUUUAACCCAGGCCCAGUUUGAUCUAAUCAGUCGAGCCCAAAGCCUCCAUGUCAUGGACUGGGCUAGGUUUGGGCCGGGCCGGGCCGACCAAUAUAAAUGUAAUCCGAACCCGGCCCAUCUAAAUGUGAGAGAGAGGGGACUUUGUAUAGCGUGGGGGAGGCGAGAGGGUUGGUAAAAGCGAGGAAACAUGGCGAGGAGCCUCUCCUACAUCACGCCCUCGCAGCUCAUCUCCAUCACCCGCAACCCCAAGAUCGCCAUCAUCGAUGUCAGGUAUAUAUAUGUAUGUACAAUUGUGAUGUCCCCUUCGGGUUAAUUUUUUGUUUGUCGACCAUGUGUUUGUUGAUUUGCUCGUGUGAGAUGUGCUGUGCCAACAAAGGGAUGAGGAGAGGAGCUACGAUGCGCACAUCGCGGGGUCGCUCCACUUCCCCAGCGACACCUUCUCCGAGAGGCUCCCCGAUCUCCUCCGAUCCGUGCGGGGCAGGGACACCCUCGUCUUCCACUGCGCCCUCAGCAAGGUUCGUUUCCGAUUCCUCCGAUGCCUUUGUUUCUAGGCUUCUUCUGAAUUGGGACUCAAGAGUUUUCCUCUCGAUUAUAUGUUGUUUAUGCUCUAAAUUUGCAAUAUAAUGAAUUUGAUGCUAUCUAGUGAUUUGAAGAAUUAUUUGUUUAAGCAUCCAUGCUUGUUAGUAGUUGUCACUUGGUAGAAGACUACAACAUUGCGAGUACCUGCGCAAAUGUCGAGGAUUUAUUUAUGUUUUCUGAGAAGCGUUAGGAGUCAUUGACAUUUUUUCACAAUCUGUUAGGUUCAAAAUGGCGAGGGACAUCCCUGUAUCUCAAAAAUCAACAUACUAUUGCUUCACAUUCGAGAUGAGUUGAUAGAAUAUUUAUUGUCAUUAACAGAUUAAUAUCGUAGUAUGAAAAUAACCAUUAUCAGUGCAAAAAUAAGUCUUAUUUCAAAAGCAAAUUUGAUGAAUGAACUAUUUACCCUUCACUUUUACUUUUUAGUUCUUAGAAGGUAUGUUUCUGGUAAUGUUUGUUGAUUUUUGAGCGGUUUUGUGGGUUGAACGUCUACUUUGGGAAGAGCUGUUUAUAUUACUGUGGAGAGAAGAUAGAAAUGGUCGCUUAUUGGCUGAUCUCUUUACGCAGUAGGCUCGUACUGCAAAACUUUUGUAUUGAAAUCUACAUCUCGCUAAUUCCUUUCGUUUUACAAGCUGCCGACUUGGGUUAUGAGUAGAAUGAAAAAUUUGCUAAUAUAAGUUUUCCAUCCGAUUUUUGCUUCGUUUAUCUUUAGCCCAGAAUAAAGCUCUAAACUUUAGAAUAAGGAGCCGCCGAUUAAGCAAUCGAUUGUAAUAUUCUGUCAAAUUUUCAUGAUAGCUUCUCGAUUUGCUUCUAGCUUGUCCAACCAAUAUUAGCAGGAAAAGGCUUGGACAUUGACGAUCCUUUACUUGAUCCUUAUUCAACUUCAGAAAAGGACGGUUAUGAUGACUAUUUGACUAAUGAUGUGCACGACAAAAGAUACUGCACUUACCAAAAACUAGUCAAGUUAUCCCUGGUUGGGGCAGACUAUCUAUUAAAUUCCCUCAUUAUCUCUAAGUUAUCUUAAAUCUGUCGCUCAACUUGUUUGUUUGUUUGUUUUCCUUUUUCUUUUUGGGUCUUUACUAACAUGAUCUCGUUUCUUUGAAGGUCCGGGGACCAUCAUGUGCGCGAUUGUUUUUGGAUUAUUUAUCAGAAACAAAAGAUGCUGGCAUAAAAAAUGUCAUGAUUUUGGAACGCGGAUUCAAUGGAUGGCAGGCUGCUGGCAGACCUGUUUGUCGCUGCACCGACGCUCCCUGCAAAACUCAUGACGUUUGAAAAUCAAAGCAAUAUUCAUAUACAGAUAAUAUUGGUUGAUUGAGUCGCACUAUUGUCUAUCGCUAGCCCAUAAUCUCUCCUUGUGGGGAUGCACUAUCUGUUAUUGUGAUUGCUACAUACGGAAGAUUUUCCAGCUCUCAAUUUGCCUGAGAUUUCUUUUUUGUAGCUUGAAGUCUACUUGUAUCGUUUAUAAAUGUCAUCGUUCUCUUAUCGUUUGCUCAAAGCUUUUAGCUCAGUUAGAAGCAGGCUGUUUGGUUUUCACAUGAAGUCGUGCUAUCUCGUUUACGAACAUCUCUAUUCUGUUACGGAAUUCGUCAAGCUUUCAUAUGUUAUCUUCGAUCUGAUCCCUGAAUGGCGCUUUUCCUCUUUCCAAUUUAUAGUUUCACAAUAGAUUGAGUUGGCAGAGAUGAUUCCUUGUCUGAUUUAUUCUCAGUUUUAAAUUCAGGAAUACAGUUUGCCUCUUCUCUUACUUUGGAGCUGUGUCCUUCCUGUGCGGGUUUCUUAUAUCUUACUAUGUUCAGGGCUCUUCUGUAAGUUUUUUUUUUAAAUUUUCUGCUCCUUUCGUUUUUCUCUCAUUAGCUCGACUUAUUUUCCUUUUCUCAAGGAAAAGUUUUAUUCAGGUGGUGACUGUACGUCUUUAGCUUUUGUAUCGUAAUUAUACAUUUGUCGCUAAUAAAUAAACCUGGAUCUAUCUUCAUAUUUUUGUGAAUAAUAUUUCACGGGCGACGAGAUGGUGGAGGGAGGAUACAAUAAUCCGAGAAUUAAUGGAUGCUCCCUUUUUUUUUAGUUUUUAAUUUUACUUGGUUUUUGAAAGCUGGUUCGGUUAAUGACUUAAUGGUGUGGGGCUGGGGGACAGGGAAUGCUUGGGAUUUAUUGAUGGGUAAAUGUGUCAUUGCAACAUUGCAAGUUGAAACUGUACUGUUGCCGUAUGUUUCUGGGCAACUAGAAUUGGUGAAUGAAUAGUUUGUUGGAGGUACCACAUCACAUUGCUCCUGGCCCUGGGUCAUGUUAUCUUGGAUUGUAUUAGCAUUCUUAGCUACUAAGAUUUUAUUUAGAAUUGCGAGAAUUAGAGCGCAUUUAUACAUGGUUUUUUUUAAAAAAAAAGUACAAUAAAUAAUAGUUUAUUUUGUGUCAUAUCGUGGAGAUGGCGACACCUUAAAAGGCAUAAUUUUAUAUAUUCUUUUAUAUUCGUGCUUCUGUUGCCUAUAUAGGGCCGUAAACAUAGGAGUGUAGGACUGGUCCAGCGGUAGGUGGGUGACCCAUUAAGCCACCUUGAAUGUGGCCCGGUAUGGACCAACCUGAACGUCACUCGUUUGGUGCGACUUGUGAGAAAUUGUUAAGACUUUUCUUGCCUCAAACUCCGAACAAGGACCUGCUCGAUCCAAACCCAUCCCAAAUUUUCACAUUGAACCCGCCCCAUCUAAAUAGUUAUAAUUCAUCAUUAUAAAUACAUAAAAUAUCUAAUAGUUCUAGUGAUGUGAAUGCAAACUCAUGAUCUACGGCUUACCCUACUCAUUGCACAACUGCAACUUACGCUGCUUGCCAUGGAUCAAUAUAAAAUCCACGCUUCGCAUGCAUGUCCUAAAGAAUAUUAUUUAGGUUAUCUUUGUCAGAUUGCCGGCGCCAACAAUUAAUUUCAAAAGUUCGAACUAUUAGAAAUACACAACCAAUUCACUUACAGCAUACAGUCACAAUGCCCACGGAUUUGAUUGUAAUUUAGUCCAAUCAAUCUCUCGUUACAUUGAACAUAAUUCGACCUAACCCACCAGCACACUAUUUUACAUGUGAUUCGGUCCAACCCUAUCUCCUGCCACAGGAUAGGAUGCGCUGGCUCUUUUAAUUAAGCCAAUAAUCUUUUCCGUCAAUUGUCCUUACUUUUGAGUACAAAUAUAUCCCACGGUAGACACACCCUAGUUGAAUUGACGGUUAAAGUCAUAGCUUAAAGUAAUAAAGCAACAAUAAUGCUUUGAAUAUAAGAAUUGACAGAACAAUUUAAAGCUUUUGAAAAAUAACAAUUAUUUUAUAUUCCUUAACAUAAUAACAGAAAAAGAGAAUAUAAGUAUUAUUAAUUUUCUUUCAUUUAAUUUAAAUUCACUUCUUCAACCUAUCAAAAUAUUUUGUCUUCAUGUGCCAGAAAAUAUUGAAUAUAAAUAUUAAUAUUACAGAUGAUCGGUAACCCCUUUAGCACACCCCAAAUGUAUAAACUUCACGAAAGGGCUGGGCUGAUGCAAAAAGAAUGGUCUAAAUUAACUUGCAUAAAACUAAAACCUGCAUGAAAGCUUUACGCAAAAUAUCCAAAUUUUGAAAGAGACAUCCACGAGAAUAUUAUAUAUUAUAUAUAUUAUAUAUUGUAUAUAUAUAUAUAUAUAUAUAUAUAUAUAUAUAUCCACAUUGUAAAUGGUCCUCGAUCGAGAAGGCAUGCAACACAUGCAGGGCUGAACCUACCACCGGAAGAAUCGAUCGUAUACCAGCGGUUGAGGCAUCCACUAUUGGUCAUGGUCACCAACCACGUACGACAGGUUUAAGCAGCUACAGCAACACACAUGCAAUAUUACAUCCUUUGCAAGUUGCUUCCCCCUCCAACAGAGUCCCCACUCGCCUGUAAUAUAAUUACACCAUUACAUGUGCCCCGUGCAAUGUUAAUUAAUGUUUAUAAUUAAACCGUUUCCCUAACAUAAUAUUCGACUUAAAGUGGCCAUACACUACAUAUCAAAAGAGCGUUUAAAAAUCGAAAACCAUUAUGAGGUCAAGAGAUACCUUCAAUAUUAAUCUCUCUUUAAUCGACAUAGCUUUGAUCUCCUCCUCCAUCAACAAAAUGUACACUUGCAUCAUCUACCAAAGCAAAAAAUAAAAAAUAAAAAAAAAAGGAGAGAGAGAGAGAAUUAAUAUACAAAAAAGGGCAAACAUAUCAUAGAGGCUUCUUACAGAAAAGCUGCCGCGGAAAUAACUCUAUCUCUUUGCUUCUUAUAUGAUAUCCGUCGCCGUCGCCAUCGCCGCCGCCGCUGCUGCCGUUGCCACCUCUGUCGAGACCUUCACCCCCGCCGACUCGGGUAUUAUUGAAGAUGUUCACCCCAAAAAGCCUAACCAUUUGAGCAUCCCUGACUGCAGCCGGCGGCUGCAUGAUGCGACCGCCUUCCGGCAUCGCAGCCCUCUGUUUGACAUCGAUGUAGAGCUGCUGCUCCAGUCCGCUCGACGACCUCCAGAAGCCGACGACAUCCCUGGGUUUCAAACCCUUCUCCUUCACGAAGCGGCUCCAUCCUUUCGUCAGCACGUAGCUUUCGCUACUCUUCCAGUAAGAGUACCGGAGCCGCCACACCUUCCCGUCGCCGUCCUCGAAAUUUAGCAGCACCCCCUUUCCGGCGAUGUCUUCGCUCUUCAGAGCGAAGUGCCUUUCCGCGUGCUGCUUCGGGAUGACCAGCCGGUUCAGCUUCCCGACGUCGCUCGGCGUCACCGCCUUAUCGAACAAAAACUCUCGCACAAACCCUAGCAAAUUAUUACUCGAAUGCGCCGUCAUCGCCUUUGGCCCGUGCCUGCGCCUGCUUUGUCGGAGCUCGUCGAGGUAAGUGUGCUUACGCAGCAUGUCGACGAUCUCGUCUUUCGAAUGCGCUGCGAGGAACGCGAGCUCGGCGGUUGGGCCUUCUUCGCGUUCCGAUAAGGGCUUGAAGUUGGUGACGGCAUCGCUGCCGCGGAAGCGUAAUGCGGCGACGUCGUGGGCGCGGGCGGCCGCCGCCUCGUCGCCGAAUGUGCCGAGCCAGACGCGGCAGUGCCGAUCGUAGAUCUGGGCGCCCCACCGGCCGUUCGGCUGGGGGACCACCCCUUUGUAACGUGACGACGGGAGCUUCCGGUGCUCGGCAUCGGCCCCGACACUCGACUCCGGAGCACUCAGAUCGAGCGCUGCACUCGCGCCGGCGCUGCUCAUCCACCAGAGCACCUCCGACUUCUCGGAGAAUUCCUUUCCCAUGCAACAACUGCUAUCGGCGCUCAUGUUAUCUGCAGUUUGCGAUUUGCAGGACGGAUUACGUUGGAACAUAUAUCUAUAUCGACGUAAUCGGAUUGAGGUGAGAGGAUUUGAAGCAAAUAUAUAUACAUAUAUAUAUCUAUAUAUAGUGUUGAUGUAUUAUUGAUCAUCUGUUUUGGCUUUGAAAUUAUGGUGAAUUUGGUACGAGGGAACUAUAUGGAAGAGAAGGUUAAUCGAAUACGCUUCUUUGAGGCGUAAAAGAGAGACGCAGGGGGGGAUGUUGCAUGCGGACAAAGGAAGUGGGGCCGCAACACGGGCAAGUUGUGUUGGGGACAAUGUAUCCUGAAGCCAAUCAGAUUAUCUUUUUCUCAUUCACUCAUUCCAUCGCAAAUUAAUAAAAACUAUUUCUAUUAUAAUUUUUAAAAAUUAUUAUAAUUAAAUAACUAUUAUAUUACGAUAAAGUAUUAUACAGUAAACUUUCAGGGAGUGUGGGAGUUCACAAAAGUGAGUGGACCUGUAUGUACGGUAAUUAUUGAGUGCAUCCCCCCUAGAGCGUUGGUGGUUCUGAUCGAGGACUAGUUUUGGUGAUUGAUAUAGCUGAACAAUCACAUGGAAUUUCUCUCUCUCUCUCUCUCAACAUGCUUUUGUUAUAUAUCAUAUUCUUUUUUUCUGGAAAAAUUUAAUGUAUACCAUUAUAGACUUUAUAUUUACACCCAUAUCCUUAGAUAGCGUUAGGUUCGGAUAUAAGCAAAAACUAACUAUUACAGGAAUAGGUAUAAAUAUGGGGAUAUGAAAAUUAGCGUUUGGAUGAAAAUUGAAUUGUUUCCGGGGAUAAGAAAAAUAACGUUUGGAUAGAUAAUAUGGAAUAAGAAAAAUAGUGAGUAGUUAUAUAUAGAAAAUGGAGGUGUUGGUGGGAAUAGUUAUAUUCGGUUAUUAUAGAUAACCAAGAACUACUAUUUUCGGAUAAAAAAUUAACGUUUUGAUAUAAAGGAGGCCCCUUAUCCCCAAUCCAAACGCUGCCUAAACCAUUUAGUUUCGAAUUUAUAAUAUUCAGAAAAAAUUAUAUAUUUUUUAUUUGGAACGACGAAUUUGUUACUGACUUAUUAAAUAAUUAAAUAAAAAAAAUUGUUAUGAACUAGCAUAUUUAUUGAUAGGUCGGCAAAGACUCCCAUCAAGUAUGGAAAUGAAAAUAUUUCUUAUCUAAUCAAGAUAAUCUAAUAUUUCUAUCAUCUAGAAAUUUAUAAUGAAUCUAUUUCUUUACUAACACUCCUUUUUAUAAUUAUUCAACUUGAGUUGAAUAACAAUAAUUAGAAUAUUUUCAAUAAAAACAUAUAAAUAUUUAUUGAAAUAUUACAAAUUUUGAAUCAAAUUGUUGCUUAUAAGAAUAAAAAUAUCCUACAUAUUAUUUCAAGUUCGAAAAUCUUUCAAAAAUACCCUUGGUGGUGACAUUCCGUUUCAUUAUGACCAGACAUAAAUCAACUAUCUAUUAUAUACGGCAAAAUUUAAUCUAUCAAAAAUAAAUUGAUCUUGUGGUGAUUCCACAAACACCCAUUAUGCGGAUGGAUGGCUUACACGAUCGAUUUCUUUCUAGAUUGAAAGGAUUAUAAUUCUUUUUCGGUUAAGAUUCAGCAUUUUUAAUGUAGAAAUUAAUACUUACAAUGCUAGUCCUAGACAAGAAUAUUUUUCCUGUAAUCUUAUAACUUCAUUUUUUCAUUACUCUUAUUUUUUUUUAUUAAAUUUGUUUUUUUUUUAACUUAAAUCUUAAAAAAUAGAACUACAUCUCUUGGAUCAAGUAAUGUAAUCGUAGAACUUUUUUUUUUUAGUUGAAGAGUAAGCAUUUGUCAAAUCAAAAAAAGGCAAAAAAAAAAAAAAAAAAAAACUGGCAAUAUCAGAGAGCUGCACUGCGCUGCUGCUUAAAGAAAAACUGCUGCGGAAACAAUUCGAUUACGGCACUUUUCAUUUCAUAUCUGUAGCCACUACUAUUGACACCUUCACCCACACCAACUUGAGUGUUAUUGAAAACCUUCACCCCAAAAUGCCUAACCGUUUGAGCAUAUCCCUGACUGCAAUUGGCGGCUGCGCGACGCAACUGCCUUCGGGCAUCGAAACCCCGACACUCGCCUCCGGAGUAGGAUCGAGCCCCGGACUCGACGCCGCUGCCCAUCCGCUGCAGCGUGUCCGAACGCCUUUCAAAUAAGUACAGCUAUCAGCGACCAGUGUGUGAUUUACCAAAGGGAUUACAUACAUCGGAACAUGUCAAUAAUCUACAUUUAUAUCAAAAUCUAUAUCGAUAUUGUUUUUUUUUUUUUAUCUUUAGAGAGAAAGAUAGUAAGUUACCGCUUUAUUCAGUAAGAAAAUAAAUUUAGCAACAAAGUGAAGCAUCAUGGCUUCGCGAGAGAGAAAAAAAACACUAAACAUAAUAAAGAUCCCCACAUAUUUCUAAGUGCGCGAAAGUUCACCAGCAACUGUCUCAGCGAUAACUUUUUGUGGUAAAAAAUUCUUCUAUUCUGCUCCAACCAUGAAACCCACCAAGUAGAGGAGAUGUAUAUAAAUAUUGUUGAAAGCGUGAUUUGCUUUGAUACCACUUGUUGUAUGGAAAAAAAUAUUACAGCGAAUUAAACUAAAUACUUUAUUAAAUAUUUUUACACUAAAUUUCGAUAGUAGAUAAUUUUUCAUAUAUUUACAGCAGUCUAUUUAUAGGCAUAAAUAAAAAAUCCUAAUAGCAAUAAUAGAAAAUAAAAUAAACUUACUUUUUAUAUUCAAUUAAUAAAAUAUUAAAAAAUAAAUCUGACGGAAAUAAAUCUAAUCUUACAGAUAUAAUAGGUUGAAAAAUGAAAGAGAAAGGGCAUGGAGAAGUACAGAUCCGUUUUGGAAUAAUAUAUGGCCCGAGUUUCGUGCAAGUGAAUUAAUUACAGGAGAGAAGGUUCGUCGAAAACCUGUUUUUAAUUGAGGUGUAGAUGAGAGAAGCGUGGGGUUGGCAAUGGACAAAUAUAUAGCUAGAGUGGGGCUCCAACAGAGGCAAGUUGGAGAUGGAUGGUUUUUUUUGUUUUUUUUUUUUUAAGAGAGUUCCAUUUAUUUUAUUUAGAAAUAAAUUUAGCUAAAAAUAUGAAUCAACUAAGAUUCGAACUUGGGUCUCGAGUACCAACCAUCAAAUAUUUUGCCACUUGUUUUAGGGACGGUCAGUUUGGAGAGAGAGAGAGAGAGAGAGAGAGACCAUGCCAAGAUACGUAAACAGUAGCAAGCGCAUCCCACUUGAACUUCGGGGGCGCAGGGGACUAAUUUUGGUGGUUGGGACUGCUUAACAGUUUCAUUCCUCCCUCUUCCCCUUUUCUCGAUCUUAUUACAAUUUCUCUUGUUACUUCAUACAUUGUGAUUUUUUUUUCUAAAGUAGUGCACGUAGUUUAGAUGGUGCAUGGAGAGUAAAAUUUCUCAUAUGUGAGAGGUUUGGAUCCACGACUCAAAUUAUUUUUUAAAUUUGAUUAAUAUAUAUUUGAAUUAUAAUUAUAAAUUUGAAUUUAAAAUAUAAAUUAAAGUGUGAUUGUUUUUUGUAGAAAGAUAAAAAGAACACACACACACACAUAUAUAUAUAUAUAUAUAGUCGGGCUACUAUGCUAUUAAUAGUACGAAGCACUUGGUACUACCAAGUUUUCCACUGUUAGAUCUACCCUUUUAAUCAUUUUCAUCCGUUAUAUCAUACUAUUCAACCAACCACUCACUCAACCCUAGAGGGUCCAUAUCAUCCUAACCGCAUAUCUCUUAAUCCAAUGGUCAAAAACUUGGUAGCACCAAUGACUUGGUGCUAUUAAUAGUAUAUUAGCCUAGUUCUAUAUAUAUAUAUAUAUAUAUAUAUUAUAGAGGAACAAGACAAUUUAUUGNAUCUCCAUCUCCACGGCUCAAUAAAACACACGGGCUAAAGCGACCUCUAUUACGCCCUAGGCCACUAGGACGGCAGUCCCUAGUGGAUGCUGGCGGUCUCGUAGCUCGCGACCUAGAAGCGGCUGCCGUUCUGCUGGACGGGGCAGUGGGCCGACGGCGAGGGCGACGGCCGGCUGCCCUCUACCUCUACCUCUACCUCUACCUUCUCCAUUAGUAUUAGUAAAAGUAAAACCAAAGGCGAUCGAAAAGCGAAAAUUAUUAUUGAUUGAUUCUCAAAGGUGCGGUUUCAGUGGAGAUGGUGGAGUUGAAAAAGUACUUGGUCAUAUAUAUAUAUAUAUAUAUAUAUAUAUAUACACCACACACACAAAGGAAGAGGAAGAGGAAGAGGAAGAGAAAGAUGAAGAUGACGGUGAUGAGGGAUUCAAAAGCGCUUAUGGAUGUCCACGCGGUGGUCGUCGUGGUGCGGGUGGGUUUCAUUUUGAAUAAUAAGUAAUAAUAAUUUUUGAAAGCGCAAAAGGGUUGACAAAGUAUUAUACGGGUAUUAGAAAAUUAGUAACGCCCCAAUUACGGCUGGCGCUAUACUGUAAUGUCUUACUUUACUUUUAUUAUUAUUAUUAUAUAUAUAUAAUAAAGUAGAGCUACUAUCCUAUUAAAAGUAUAAAGAACUUAGUGCUUUCAAUUUUUUAGUCUUUAAAUUAGUUUUUUUAAUUAUUUCUAACUUUUAGAUUAAUAUUACUAUUAUGUAAAAAUCACUAUCUCUAGAAGUAUUAUCCAAUCCUAAGAAGGACUGUAAUCACCCCAAUCAUAUAAUUCUUGAUUUAAGAAUAAAAAACUAAAAGUAUCAAAUUCUCUAUACUUUCGAUAUCAUAAUAAUUCUAUACUAUUAUAUAUAUAGAGAGAGAGAGAGUCUGACUACUAUGCUAUUAAUAGCACAAAGCACUUGGUGCUAUCAAGUUUUCCGCCGAUAUAUCUACCCUUUUGAUCAUUUUCACCCGUUCGAUUAUACUAUUCAAUCAACCACACCCACUCAACCCUAGGGGGCCCACAUCAUCCUAACCGCAUAUCUCUUAAUCCAAUGGCCAAAAACUUGGUAGCACCAAUUACUUGGUACUAUUAAUAGUAUAUUAGCCUAGUUCUAUAUAUAUAUAUAUAUAUAUAUAUUAUAGAGGAACAAGACAAUUUAUUGUGUUUUUUGUUUAUUUUAUUAUGAGCUUUAUAUGAAAAUUAUAUCUAUGCUUGUUAAAUCUUAAAUAUAAUUAAAUAAUAUAUGAGUAUAUAAACACGAAUGUAAAUAUUGAGUUUUAUUAUUAUUAAUUCUACUUCACAUUCAUAUGUGUGCAUAUAUAUUAUUAAAAUAAUAUACGAAUACCAAUUCAAUUCUAAUCAGAAUCUAAAAAAUUUAUUUAAUCGUACUCUAAUCUGUUUUUAUCGAAUAUGAUAACGAAAAUUUAAUAUUUAAUAUAUAUUCGCAUGCGAAUUUAUACUCAAAAAUAUAAAUAUAAUUUUGUUAAAUAUUCUAUAGUGCAUAUUCGACCAUUUUCAUCCUAAUCAUGUCGUCCUUUUAGUGGUACAUUAAAUACUGUGCCAAUUUGUUAUUUGUACAUCUUGAGGUAUGUCGAGUAGGUUCCCAAUAUUGAAUGCGUGCAGUAACAAAUUGCAUAAUAAAAGCUUAAUUUAAUGCAAAAUAUUUUAGUUUUUCAAAAGGCUAACGUUCGAAAAAAAAUAAAUAAAAUUCUUUUUUUCUUUUUUAAAAUUUCAUUUUAUUUUAUUUAAAAAAGAUUAAGCUGUAAUACUUAAUCCAAUACCGUUAUAUUAUAUUGGAGUUAUUCCUAUCCUAUAUCCGAGUAACUUAUUAAGAUAUUUAAAAUAUUCUUAAAAAUGAUAAACAUGUAACAUUCUUUUUUUUAAUAUUCCCAACAUAAUUUGCACUAAGUAGCGUCAGGUAUAUAGGACUAAACAAUUAUUAAUGCACCCUUGUUGCAUGUUAUGGACAAAAAAAUUUAGUACUUACCGAUUAUUUCUAGAGCAAGUGGCAAAAGGUUUGGUGGUUGGUACUUGAAGUCCCAAAUUCGAAUCCUAGUUGAUUCACAUUUUCAGCUAAAUUUAUUUCUAAAUAAAAUAAACGAAACGGGCAACGUACUAUUUAUCUCUCUCAAAAAAAAAAAAAAAAAAAAUAGCACUUCGGCUGUUUAAUUACAUUUUUGUUUCUUGUGUUUUACGAUCAUAAUUGGUCACGUUAAUUUCUACAGGCACCCCAGGACUCAUUAGAUGUACGCACAAGUACUGUUCUUGGACUUAAUGAAGAAUGAUCGUAAGCGCCGAUUCAAUGGAUGCUGGGUUGUCGCAGAUUUUGUUUUUUUGCCACUACACGGACACUCCGCAUUCAAGAAUAUUCUUUAUUUUUCUUAUAAUUUUGUACGUCCUUAGAUUAUUGUCGCACGGAGUUUAGGUCCUUAGAUUAUUGUCGCACGGAGUUUUGGAGUGUUCUUAGUUUGGCAUCUAACCCGAAGCCAAAUCGAACCUGAUCAAAUAAGAUAAUUUGAUUCGAUUUAUAUAAUUUUUGGUUUGGUUCCGUUUGGCUCAGUUUAGUAAAUUAAAUUUUUUUUAUUUACGUAAUCAAACCGGUAAUCGAAUUUCUUGUAGAAUAUGAUAUAUAAGAAAGAAGAAAAGGUGAUAACUGAACUUAACCGAAUUUCAUACGGUUUGAUUUAGUUUGGUUCAAAAGUUAUUUUUAUUUGAUUCGGUUUGAACAAAAUAUAUAUAAACUUAAAAAUUUCAAUUUGAUUUGUAAAAUGGUUUAAAACCGAACAAAAUCGAACUGAAUACACCCCUAAGCGCGCGCGCGCCUUACACAAGAACACAAGAGUGUGGUUCAAAUCCCAACUGCAGAAGUUACUAACAAAUACGUUACCACCAGAUUGCCAGUGGCUUGGUUUCGUCCAAAAGUUAAAACUUAUCAUACUUCUGCUCGGAUGCUUUUUUUGGACCGAACCAUGCCGACUUCUUCCAAUCCAGCUCGCUGUUGUAGUAGCACGGAAUCAUCUCGCUGCUGCCAUCUCUUUUAUUGAACACCGCCACAUCAUAGCCACCGAAAAAUUAAUGGAACUCCCUUAAAUCAAAUGCAGUUCGCCCUGCAGCCAGGGGAACUCGCUCGCCUUCACCGACAUGCUAUGGUUUCCGCACAAGAGCAGCGCACAAUCGCCCAUGUCGCUAACCCAAUCCCAUGCACUUGGGUUCCUCUGCGUUGACGUCGCACAGCCCACACGUCAAAGUGAUCCUUCUGGCCGAUCAUGUAGCCUUCGUGAAUGUCACGACGUUAUCUUCUGAUUAAGAGCAUGUUCCCUGCGUACUCAUCAUCAACUAGAUAAAACUGGCUGUCGAAGAUCCUCGUGAAGCACGAGAUUAUUGUCGCUCUGAAUUGCACCGCCUGUCGAAGCUCUGCUUGAAGGAGGCACGUAUAGUAGCCUGGACCGGUGACGCAAAAGGGUCGCAUACUGCCCUCCUCCUCUCGCCUUCCAUAGUGUAGAACUUGUUGCUGCUUGGAGUAUAGGGUAAGCAGCGGUAUUCGUCGGAGUUGUGGUGGUGUGGGGGUGGGGGAGGCGGUAGAUUCUCCGAUCAGCGAGGCUGAAGAAUCGGUGUACGUCGUCGCUGCCAUCGCAUGAGAAUUCUGGAGGGAACAUCAGCCACGGGAGGUGAGGAGGGAGGUCGGCAGGCUUUGCGGCAGAGCGCCACGACGCGCAGAUGGGACGCUGAAAGAGCUUCCGAGCACGAGCAGUUGCAGGGAAAGAGAUGGAAGAUAGGACCAGUCUGGACUCUGAAGAGGGAUUAGGAUUGGAUCGGCGAGUUGUGGGGGACGACAUUUCUUUAUUUGGAAGGUUUGGGGCUUCCGCGGCCGUUAUAGGAGAGUGUUAUGUAGUUCACUCUGUUAGAAUUUCAAAAAUCACCUACGAAAUUCUUGGAGGGAGGUCAAAAUUUAAUUCUGCAGUAAGAAUUUAAAUGUUGUGUCAUAAGAUUGUGCUCUAACUUACAAAUACGAUAUGUGUCGAUGCAUAUUGGAAUGUCGAUCACAAAACUUAUAUAUAUAGUUAUACAUAAUAAUACGGAAUACUUAUUUUUUUAGCAUCAAAAUACUUUAAUUACUUAUUAUAUAUAUCUAUUAAGUUUUUUAAAUUUUAUUAAAAUAAUUACUUACUAAUUUAAAAAGUAUAGAAUCUUAAACUAUACCACUGAUAUAUAAAUUAUAUCGUAUCAAUAUUUUAUUAAAAUAAUAAAUUACCGUACAUGCGACUAUACUGUCGUACCGAUGAACAUUCAAAUUUUUGUUCAUUAGUUUCACAGGAUACGUUUCAACUUUCAAAACGGCCUAUGUGAAAACUACCUAUCAUAGCAUCGUAGCUUAGCGUUACCAGCGUGCUAUACAACUGUUCUUGAACGUACGUUCUCCACAGAACUACAGAACCAAAUACAUUCGAACCACGACCAUCCAAUUAGAGCACCUUGCAAUUAACCAGCAAGGCCAAAACACAAGCUUCAUUACUUACACUCAGUCUGGAUGAGAGAAAUAAAUGGUUAAGAGGGGAAAGAAAAAUAUAUUAUUCUCUCGUGUGGACUGAAUCUCGAGGAGAUAAAGAAAAAAGUAAAAUUUAAAUUAAUAGUUAACUUCCGUUUUCAAAAAUUGCGAGAAAGGAAGAGAAAAUUGCUUUUCUUUAAGAAAAUACAUUCUAUGGAAAACUAUUGAACCAAAAACAUUCAAAACAUGAACCUUCCAAUUAGUUGGUGCCAACUACUUGAUAACCAAAAACUUUAGUAAAACAAAAGGUAAUGCUAAUCAUUAUUGCUUCAUUCUAAACAUAAUACGGCUGCAAGGCACCUGAGGAUGUAAGCUAGCUACUAAAUCAAAACGCUAUUGUUCGCUAUCGCCAUGCCACAUACAGAAUGACUCAUGUAAGCACAAAAGGUCGGAACGUUAAGCAUUCGUAAAGACAAAGAUUAAAGAGACUUGAUGCAGUUAACUUGCGAACAUCCAAGCACACGACAUCUACCUCGACGGCGAGGCUGCUACUGCAGACACCAUGCUAUCUAUGCCGCAAAUGUUAUGUCCCCUGCAAAGUCGGUAGUAUCCGUUUUCUCCCCAGUGCUCACCCCACGAGUUCUUUAUGAUCCAAUACGGCUUGUAUCCGAGCCUGAGGAUCGAAAAUCCUCUGGACCCGUAACCGACGAGAAGCACGCCAUGGUUCACCCACUUCUUCGGGCAUAUCAGCGGGCAGGACACCCCUCGGAUAUAAGUCUGCAUGAAAGCCGCAUUCAGACCAACUGCAGAUUUUCCAUCGAUCAAUCGCACAAUACAUUAGUACAGUAAUCAAAUUCGAAUUUAAAACAAUCCGAUAUCGAUAAUUUGUGGUUUAAACCUGCAAGAGGCCCGCGGCGAACGAGAUUAGCCAUGAUUUGAUCCUCAUCAAGAGGUAUGUUUGUGAAGUUUGCGAUGCGAACGGCGAUCUUGUCUUUGUUGAACUUGCACUCCCCUUGCUUUCCAGUGUAAGGGUAAGAUCUCUCCUCUUCCAGUCCACCCGCUUGCAUCAGGUAGCGGUAGGCGUUCGUCAUGAGCCCGCCGUUGCACCCGUUGUCGCACUCGUCUUUCUCCACAGCAUCGCACUUAAUUAUAUAUACACGUACGUAGGCAUAAGAAGUGAUGGUCAGUAGAAAUUCUGCAAACUGCAUUUGAGAGGUAAACGUAAAAGAGAAACUUGGGAUUACUGUAUGGUCACAGUCAAUGAGUUGCUGCUCACUGAGGCUCAGGAGCUUCCCAGUUGCUGCAAAGUUCGCGCCUUCCACCGCUCCGGUUGUGCUAAAUGCCCAGCACGAUCCACACACGCCCUGCGUUUACAAGAUCAACUCGAGAGGUUCAAAAUGGUUGGCUUAGGCUAGGCCGCCAUGUUCGAUCGUGCCUUUGGGCGAUCAACUUAAUUUCCAGUUGAAUCUAUAGAUCUGCAACGUGACCGAACCAGGCCAAUCGGUUCGGAUCAACCGGUCCCCGGCCGGUUUAUAUUAAUUUAACACCUAGCUAGCUCGAUCUCACCUGCGUCUUAACGUCCGUAACCGCUCCCUUCUCCCUCCAAUCGAAGCUCGAGGGGAGGCCCUCCACGUCCGUCUCCGGCGCGGUCGGGUGCCAGUGCCCCUUCCUCUCCCUCGCCCCGAGGCCCGUGAGCCGCGCCUCGAACUCGUCCUCGGUGAGGUCGGAGAAGGGCGUGAUCCCGUGCUCCGCGGUGGGGUCCAGGAUCUGGUGCUCCGCCGCGCGGACCAUGUUCCGCGCGAACACCCCCAGCCGGUGAGCGUACUCCGCCCGGUCCCCGUACUCCUUCCCGUACCCCCGCACGAACGCCUCGAACUCCGCCUCCGGGCUCCCUAGGGCUGACGUCACCUGCCGGAUCCUGGGGCCCGCCUCGUAAGAUGCGCCCGCGGCGCGCGUUAAGAGGAGGACGAGGGAGAGCGCAGCGACGGAUAACGAGCUCCGGAGUUCCCCUUCCAUUAUUUUACGGUCGCUUUCCUCGUUUCCACUUUACUGAUAUAGGAGGUGGGGGAUUCAGUAAUUUUUUAGAUAAAAUUACGAGUGUAUGUAUAUAUAGUAUGGCUUCAUUAAAUUCGGUGUUGCUUUCGCGGGUAAAUGCGUAAUUACGUUCAGGUGCAUGGCGGUGGCUGCAUGAAGAUGGAACCUGGGGGGAAGAGAACACCUGGCAAGUGUAAAGGACACGUGGCAGCUUGGCAUAAUGAUUUGCUCUGUUUUACUUUUUCCGAAUUUUGAUGCGUUGGGUGGCCAAUUCAAAACUUUCCCUACCGAUGUAACAAAUUUGGGCCUAAUUUGAAUAAUUGGGCCUUUCCCUACCGAUGUAACAAAUUUGGGCCUAAUUUGAAUAAUUGGGCCUACAUGGGCUUUAUUGUUCCAAUCUGGGCCCUAUCAAGGUCUUGGCCCGUCUACGGUGAGCGCUGCAGCGAAACCCAUAAAAGCAUUUGUGCGGGCACGGACACAGAGAGACUGAGAGAGAGGAGCAUCGGGCGCCGAGGGGUUCUUCUUUGCGAGUUGUAGGGUUUCUUCUAGGGUUUCAAGGAGCGAUAUGGCGAAUCAGGGGGCGAAGAAGAGGAAGGAGGAGAACAAGAAGCACAUGACCAUGCUCCUACGCCUCAUCGUCGCCUCUAACGUAACCCUAAUCUUUUCUUUCGCCCUUUUUGUUUCCGCUUAAUUUUCGCCUCUGUAAUCAGUUUUCCUCAAUGCUUUUGUUGAGAUCUGAACUUUCUUUUUUUAUUUUUCAUGUGAAUUUGAUAGCAAAAAGAUGAUUCGAAGAUCUGUUCUACUAAAUUUCUAGUUUUAGUAUCUAUUAGAGAAUGUAUUAGAAGCUAAAUUGAGUAUAUCUAAUUGAAUGUAUUUGUUAUCUGCUGUUAAUGAAGGCCAAAAUUUGAUGAUUCCGUGGUAUAAGUCGCAUUGAAAAUGGAGCUAUCAAUGGAAAAUUAGGUUUACUUUUUAGUAGAUUAGGACUUGUGAAGGAGCCUCGGAAAAUAGUUGAUUAUGCAAACAAAAAUCGAGUCACAGAUCAGUUGCGGCUUAUUAUAAAGUUGAGGGCUCGCUCGAUGUUGCAUGAAAUAGAUGCGGCAUCGAGAUUGAUAGCUUUAGUUUCCCCAUAUUUUAAGUGCUUUUGUUCUAAUUAGGAUUUUGUUAGGAUUUUAGCGCAUUAUUGUGUAGGAUGAGGUUAAGUGAAGCCCACAUGUUAGUUGUGUCAAUUCUUUUAGAUCCCCUGAUAAAAAUAUGGAGCAUAGAUUUAUUGGGUUAUGUGGAUCUAGUAAGGGCAACAACCUAAAGAGUGGGCUCAAUUAAAGGUGGCUAGGGUAAUGUAGAGUAAGAGCAGGUAAAAUAACACGUGAGAGAAGAAAAGGAGAAUGAAGAGAUAGCUCGACUUGUUUGUAGCUCUAAAAUGUAGCUUAUGACAUGUGCUAGCGACUUUGUUCGCAGGAAGAUACAGCAUACAUUGCACUUGGUUAAUUGGCGGUGAAUGGCGAUAAGUUUUCUGCUAACUAUGACUUUGCAUGCUGAUUAUGCAACAAGGUUAGAAGAUCUACAGGAUAACAUGUUAAGGUGGUCGAGAAAAGGAAGUACCAUUUCUUACUAUGGUGUUAAUGUAAGAAUAGGGUGCUUUUAAUGUUCCGAGGUUUGUUCUCUUGGUUCACGCUAAUAACAAUAUAGCUUGCAACAUUGAAGUGAUGACUUUGACUUUGAGAGUAUAUUCAAUAAAGAGGAGCCUUUAAAGUUAUUCAUAAUUUGCCUCUCUUUGCUUACAAUUAGCUUGUUUGUGGCAAAAGGAAAAGCUAUAUGGCCAGUCGUUUGCUUGCAUUCUUAUUGAGAUUUCCAUUUGCCCUUCUUUUUUCCGCUUACUAAUACGGAUAUUAUAAUUAGUGAGGAUAAGAAGAGCACUUAUGGUUGCUUUUAUAUCACAUCCAAUAACUCAGCAACUCUGCAGGUCAUAUAUGUGCUAGUGAGGAUGAUAAUAUUUCAUUCAACUUUCACAUGGAAGCAUUGGAUUGGUCUUCUUGUGACAUCUGUUGCGUACAUUGUCCCGUAUCUACAACUUGCUAAUAUGGCAAAGCCAACAUUCUCAGAUGACGGAGAGCUCCUGGAUGGUGGAUAUGACAUGACAACCGGCGGAGUGUGCGGGUACACCUCCGAUUCUUUUUAAUAACAUUAUGUUACGUAGUUAUUCUUUUCUUUUUGUAAUUAAGACUCCACCGUAAUUCAAUUGUCUUUACUGCAGAUAUCUGCAUGAUGUGAUCUACAUAACAUGCUUUGUGCAGCUGAUGUCCAUCAUUUCUGGAAAGUUCUGGUGGACGUACUUAGUGGUAAGAUAUCUCAAUCAGCUUACCACCUCUGAUUCAUCAAGUAAUUGGAGAACUUUGUGCCCCAUUAUGGGUACAAUUAGAAUGACUUACUACCUCAAUGUGCAUAGAUGAACCUUCCUUACUGCAAAAUUAGAACUGGGAGGACAUUAUUAUCCAUUUUCUGCUGUUUAGAAUCUCAAACUUUUGGAGAGUUCUUAUUCGUAUCGACUGGGACACUAAGGUUUAUAGUCUUUGUUCUAAUCGUCAUCUUGAUUAUUACAACAUAUAUUAUACUGUUCCAGAGGCUCUUUUAUGUGGUUCCUCUUUCUAUGAUAGAUCAGAGGGUGCUUCUGUGUAGGGUGGCAUUUAAGGUCAAGUAGUUCCUUUCUGCAGCAGACAANNNNNNNNNNNNNNNNNUUGAAUGAUACCACUAGAGCAGUGAUAAAGCAUAUCACAUGCUGAAUUAUUAUAUUUCGAUUUCUCUAAUACACUCUACUCUCUUUCAGAUACCGGCAUUUGGUGCGUACAAGGUUUCCGGUCUUUUAAAAGGAACAUUUCUUGGCGGCUCAGAGGUACAGAUACUGAAGUGCUCAUAUUACCAUAUCUUGAUCCCAUAAGAACAUAAAACUUAUCAACAGUGUUCAAUGUAUUACAGGGGGCCGUAGAGGAUGAGAAGAGCCGCAAAAAAAGGGAGAAGAUGGAGAAGAAGGCCUCAAGAGGCAAAUUUAUCAAAACCAGGAAUCGCUAAUGCUCUAUAUCUUACACCCCGGAGGUUAGGUUGGCGUGUUGUUUGACAAAUAUUGUAAUUCAUGUGCUCAUUUAUUAUUCUCAAAUCCAGCUAGAGCUAAGCAGGGUAUAGCAUCUUUUGGGAGGUGCUUUCGCUGGCCGAUCCUUUGAUUGACCUAAUCGCUUCAUCAUGUGUGUGAUUGGAUAGUUAGGUCAAUGCACAGAAAAUCUAUUUAUACAACUAGUAACAAUUUUUUUAUAUUCUCGCGACAGAGCAGAUACUAAUGCAUUAUAUGUACCAAUAUGUUGGUUUAUUUUUUGGUGUAAUGUUAAUUUUACAUCCUUUACUGAAGGUGUAAGGUAUGCUUUAUUUUGCAACCUGCGUGAGAAUGUGAGAUGAAGGUGUUGAUUAAAGAAUUGAUCUUAUAGCAACGGCUCAAGAGUAGCCUUAACACCUUCAACACAAUGCACAGGUGAGAUAGAAGUGUUAAUUAAGAAUUGAUCGUAUAACAAGGGCUCAAAAAUAGUCUUAACACCUUCAACACAAUUGCACGGACGAGAUCAUAUGAAAGCUCUGCAAGACCAGUGAAACUUGAAACAUAAAGAUCAGAAAACACGUAGCGGCCGUCUACAAUACAAAUGUAGUUUGUAUUUUACGUAAAAAUAAUCAAAUCUGUAAAAUCUUGCAAUGUGUACAAAUAUUAAAUAUUAAGGCCCCGUUUGGAUCGCGGGAUAAGCGGGGAUAACGAAAGUUAUCCCCGCUAUUCCACCAAACGGGGUGAAAUUUGGCCGGGAUAUUUUAUUCCGGUCAAAUUUUGCUAUUCUCGGUUAUCCCGGAAUAGCAAGGGAUUUGCUAUUCCACCAUUUUGGUGGAAUAGUGCUAUUCCAAUGCUUAAUUUCAAACUUAAUUAAACUUAUAAAUUGAAUUAAACUAAAUUAUAUAAAUAUAAUAUGUUAUAUAUUAUAAUAUAUUAUUUUUAUUAUAAAAUUAUUAAUUGUACUAUAUUAAUACAUAUUAUUUAUAUUUAAAUAUUAUAAUAAAAUUUAUAAUAAAUUAUAUUUAAAUAUUAUAAUAAAUUCUUUUUAUUAAAUUUAAAUUUAAGUAGAAUUUUUAAAAAAUUUAUAAAUUUAUUAUAAUAAAUUAUUUUUAUUAAUUGUUCCCACCACUAUUCUUAUUUUAAAAUUUUAAAAAUUAAAAAUUUAAAUUUUUAAAAUUUAUAAUUUAUAAUCUCAAAAUUAAAGUUUAAAAUUUAAAUUAUAAAUUAUAAAUUUUAAAUUUAAAUUUUGAUAUUUUAAAUUUUUGAAAUUUAAAAUUUGAUAUUUUAUAUUUUUUUAAAUUUAAAUAUGAUCUUAAAUUUAAAGUUUGAAAUUUAAAAUUUAAAAUUUUGAAUUUAAAAUUUGAGAUUUUAAAUUUCAAAGUUAAAAUUUUAAAUUUAGAAAGAUAAAUUUAAAAAUUUAAAAAUUCAAAUUCAAAUAUAAUAAGUGAAUAAUAUCAUUAUUUUUUAUUUACAAAAUCCAUUAUCUCUCUUAUUCCAUCUUACCUAACCAAACGUUAUUUUUUUUAUUCCAGGAAUAACCCAAUUUUUAUCCAAACGUAAAAUUAAUCUAAUCCUCGUUUAUACCUCAAUUUAUACCUAUUCCUGGAAUAGCCACUUUUUUCUUAUCCCCGAACCAAACGAUACCUAAAUAUACGCAUGCAAAUGCAUGCUGAAGGCGCCAGAAUAUUCACCCCCAACUCGGGACACCAACGGAUAAAAAGAGUUUUUCAUAAUUCCAUCAGAGCUCCCGCCACUAGUCGUCAUGCUGAUUGAUGCUUAUCCCCACUCCCUCUCCCUCUUCGUAAGGAAAGAAGCCAAUAGGCCACACCGGAGACGAAGAAGCUCACAAACCAUGCGUUGUUGUAGGCCACAACAAAUGCGUGCCGCGUGUUCGACAAAAUUCCCACAUUGCACAGAAACCCCGGGACUAUCGGCAAAAUCCCGGCGACGAGAGCCGCCAAUGCAGCAGCAUUGAAUCCGUUCCAGUAGUAAUAGGGCCCGCGAGGAUUCUGCGAGUACAAGGCGGCGACGUCCAAAUCCAUGCGCUUGACGAGGUAGUAGUCGGCGAGGAUUAUCCCCCCGAUCGGCCCCAUGAGUGCGGAGUAGCCGAGCAGCCACGUGUAGACGAAGCUCUCGCUGGAGCUCAGCAGCCGCCAGGGCUGGAACGCGAUCCCCAGCAGCGCAGUAACGAGCGCUCCCCUGGCGAACGUGAACCUGCGGGGGCUGAGAUUCACGAGGGCGUUGGCGGGCGCGACCACGUUGGCGGCGAUGUUGGUGGUGAUGGUGGCGAGGCUGAUGCCGAAGAUGGCGACGAGCGUGGUCGGGAGGCCGCCGCCGAUCCGGCCGAGGAGCUGGAUGGGAUCGGAGAUGACGCGGCCGAAGAUGACCUCCGUGGAGGACGUGAUUGCGAGGCCGGCGAAGGUGAAGAGGCCCAUGAACACGGGGAGGCCGGCCUGGCCGACGAUCUGGUCGGCCUGGCUGCGCGCGAACCGGGAGAAGUCGGGUAUGUUGAGCGCGACGGUGGCCCAGAAGCUGACGUUGGCGGUGAGCGAGGGGAAGAAGACGGCCCAGAACUGGGAGCGGGUGAGGCGGGGCGGGAUGUACUUCUCGAGCUCCCGGAUGCCGCGCAUGCCCCGCAGGACGACGGCGAGCUGCGCGAGCCAGAAGAGGAGGAAGCAGGAGAACUGGAGAGGGGAGGUGCCCAGCCAGGAGACGGGGGCGAGGGCGGCCGGGGAGGACUUGAGGGAGGGCGGGAGGAGGAGGAAGACGGCGCGGCCGCCGAUCCAGGACUCGAUGCCGAACCAGCCGCAGCCGACGAGGGCGCGGAGGAGGGCGGGGACGUGGGCGCCGCGGAGGCCGAAGGCGGCGCGGGCGAGGACGGGGAAGGGGACGCCGAGGGCCGCGCCGGGGACGGCGGUGAGGACGAGGGGGACGAGGACGAUCAGGUUGGCGGCGACGACGGUGGCGACGCCCUGCCACCACGACAUGCCGAGGUCGACGAGGCUCCCGGCCAGGUAGUAGGAGGGCACGCCCACCACCAUCCCCACCCACAGGCUCGCCAUGUCCAGCGCCGUCAAGGUGCGCUGCGACGGAGGGAUCGGGGCCAGGUCGGAGUCGGAGGAGACUUCUACUCGGGAAUCGGGAGAGCAGCGAAGUGGGAGGAGGAGGAGGUGCUGACUCGGGUUGCGGGAGGAGGAGGAGGAGGAGGAGAGGCGGAGGAGGGAAGGGGUGGAAGGAGAAGGGUGGAGGUAGUUGAGGCGGAGGGCGAUGGUGGUGGUGGUGGUGGUGGGGGAGAGGAGGUGGUGGGGCUGGAGAUGGAGACGGAGGCAAGAGGACUCCAUGAAAGUUGGAGAGGGAGAGAGAGAUUAGAUUCAACCAGAUGGGGUAUAGGAAUCUUAACCUAUGAGGAAUGGGGGUGGACGGAUAUCUCCCUCUUUUGUAAGAUGGCAAAUGAUGUAUGUGUGUCUGAGAGAGAAUGUAUUUUAUUUAUAUUAGAAUAUAUCAGUUAUAUUAAUCACGAGGCAUUUCUAAUCAAUCAAAAUAUUUUUUUAAUUUAUUUAUUCUAUUAUGAUUAUAAAAAAAUAUUUUUAUUAUAUUUUUACUUUCAAAUGAACUAUUUGUUUUUAAUAAUGUAGUACAAAUGAUGCAGUACAAAUAUAAUACGCUAAACUUUAUUUCCCUUUGAGCCCAUAAGUCAGAAAAGAAAUCUAAAAUACACCCAUUAUAUUAUUCACGUGAUAUACCCACCAAUAAGAUUAUCCUCCUAAAAUUCACUCGUCCAUGAUUAAUAGAAAAAUAUUUUUACUGUACUUUAUCAUCAAAAAUAUAUAUAUGUUUAAUCCGAUGCUUCAUUAAUUAUUGAGAAGCAAAAUGUUAGUUAUAUAUCCAAAAUUCAACCAAAAAACCUGAAUCAGCUGAGCACAGAAAAAAUGGAUUAGGCAUGAUGCAAUCAAAUGAUAUAACAGAUUGCAGAUACCGAAACUCGCGGCUUUGCAUGAAGCAAAUAAUGAAACUCUGUACAACUGAACGGAGUAAAGCCCUUGCACAAUGAGGCUAGCAGUGCCUAGUUUACGGGAGAUAUAAUAGAACUAGUUACCUUAUAACUUACAACCAUUCAAAUGUAGUGCAGCAACACAAUUUUGACCACCACCAACAAGAUACCACGACUAUUCGGGCGGAACAAACCACUCUCCACCAGAUUUCAUCAUUCAAGUCUUCUAAUAUAAGUAACUUAAUUUGUAACAUAGAAUUGUCCAGAACACGAAGAGCGAACAAUAGAAGUCAACCAGCAUUAGAAGAUAAAGUCGAGCAACUUGGCAACAAGGAUGAUCAAAGAAGAAAAGAAGUUACAAGCACAUCGACCAUAGCAAGGGGAAAGGAUGCAGAGAAAGAAGGCAAGUACUUUCCAACUCUACUUCACAUCCAAAAUUUACCAGAAACAAAAGCCGAGAAUUGGCUGCUACUACCGAGCUCUGUAGUAGUCACGCUCUCUUCCAUACUCGCGGCCUCUGUCAUAAUCACGGUCUCUUUCUCUGUCUCUCCCCCUUUCCCUAUCGCGAUCCCUCUCCCUGUCUCUGCUACGGCUCCUUCGCCUCUCCCUCUCAUGACCAUCCCUUUCCCUGUUCCUGCUGCUCUCCCUGUCUUCAUAAUCUCUUCCCCGGUCUCUGCUUCUCUCUCUGCCAUCUCUUCCAGUCACAUCUGCAACAGCCAUUCAAGAAUCAAGACAUUGCUCUCUUACAAAACCCAUUAUUCAAUGCCAAAAGUAAAUGGUAAUCAAACACAAUAAGAACUCCACAAGUAAUUUUCACAGAUGAAUAUGAAUAUUAUUAACGCUGCAGCUACAGGAAAUAAAGGAAAAAAUAUAAACAAUCUUAGGAGAGAGCAAAACAUACCUAAUUCUUCAACCUCCCAUCCAGCACGACCUGAACCUGGGACCGCCUGUCCAGCUUCAGAUUGCUGUGCUUUGGCACGGAAUUUCUUUUUGAGGUUACCAAACUCAUCAUAUAUCUCUCCAUCGUCCUUAACGCAAAGAAAAAAAAGUUGUUUGCAGGAGGGGUAAAAAACAAAAAAAGAAUGUCAUAGGCAUGCAAAUUAAAGAAACUCAGCCCUAACCUCUUCAGCUUCUUUUCGGCGCCUUCUUGUUUCUUCUAUUUCUUCUUCAUCGAGUUCUUUGUAACCACCAGCACGGCCUCCUCUGAGAAAUUAACAAUGAAAAAUUCAAUUCCCAAGAACCGAACAGCAAAACUAUUAAUUACUUGGUAACCAAUAAUGCUACAGCUUCAAAUUUGAAAUGAAAAGAUAAACUGUCGAUAACUGUGCUGCGAGCACAGUAGUGAAAAGCUUUCUUACCUCACACCACCCUCAUUGUGACCUGGCUUAUUGGUGUUACAGAUGUUGCACUUAGUCCGCUUGGCCCAAUUAAUAUUGCCACACCUGAAAUGCUCAUUUCGUAACCAAAAAAUAAAAUAUCAAAUGUCAUAUUACGUUCAUUUGUCACACGGAAAAAUAUUUCUUAUUGCAUAGUAUCAAUAACAUGCCAAAAAAGAGAGACAGAAUAGGGAGGAGAUACAUAUUACGAAUGUAAGCACUCUAACAUAUAUUUCUGCAGAAUAGGUAAACAAACUUUCAAGAAUUCAAAAAAAAAAAGAAGAAGAAAACUUUCUCUAUGUUAUUCCAUAACAAUCUCCGAGAAUUAACCGUCACUGCAUUUAGGGCUUGUUUGGUUCAUCCAUUUUGGGUAUGGAAUGGGAAUCGGUUUGAUCAAAUCCGGUUAAUUUUGUUUGGUUCGCAUGAAUCGGUUUGGAAUUCCUAUUCCGGACUGGAAUGGAAAUGGCCCAUUAGCCUUCAACUUGAUUCCGGUCUUCUAGCCCGGAUUGAGAUUUCAUUCCGGAAGCCCACUAAGUUCUCGAAGUCCAUGUGACCAUCUCACCCUCCUUCUCUUCAUCCCUUUCUCAUCAAAAAAAAAAAAAAAACCUAUCCUCUCUCAAAAUCCUAUUCCUAACCCACAUCAAUAAAAGUUUUUUUUUUGGAAAACUUAUUAGAGAAUAGUAUUAUAUUUUUCAUAAAUUUUAAAUAAUAUAAAUUUAUAUUUGAGAGUAAAAUUAGUAUUAUAAUAUCCUAUAAUUUUUUUAGUUUAUACGAACCAAACAAUGAAAUGUGAAUAACUCAUUCCAAUUCCCAAUCCACAAAUAAACCAAACGUCUUGGGGGAGUGGGUCAUUCCAAUUACCAUUCCAAUUCAUUCCCAUUCCAUUAUCCAUUCCAAUUCCACCCUUGAACCAAACAAGCCCUUAGGGUAUGUUUGGUUCACCUAUUUUAGACUAUGGAAUCGGAAUAGAAUGCAUUGAUUUCGAUAGUUGCCGUUUGUUUUUUAGGAAUCAGAUUCCGAUUCCCAUUCCACUCCGGAAUGGGAAUGGCUAAAUCCAUUUAUGAUCCAAUCCGGCUUUCAAUUCUGAAUUGGCUCAUUCCAAAGUAACUAUUCAAAAUCCUCUUUUAUCAAUACCUACCUCCUCUCCCUUCAUCACUUUUCUCUCUCUUAAUCAAAACCCUCUCUCAAAAAUUUUAAAUUUUCAUUCCGAUUUCCAUUCCAAUAAUGAACCAAACAUUUUUGGAUGAUUCGUUAUUCCAUUUCCCAUUUCAAAGCAAUCCAAUUUCAUUUCUCAUUCCUACUCCAAUCAUGAACCAAACAUGCCCUUAUACUCCAUAAAUGCAAAAGUUAAGUCCAUAAAGUCAAUAAUAGCACGCUUCUACGUCAACAGUUCCAAAUAAAGAUAUUAACCACAAAAGGAAGCUACAUAUAACAAGUUAGAGGGCACUUGCCCUUUAAAAGCUUGGGAGAUUCGCUUGGAUUUUUGAGCCCUUAAGAUGAUACUUAAAAAGAAAAAAAAGGAAAUUUUGUAUGGGGAGUUUUAACCAGGUGGGAUAUUUCUUACAUUGGGCAGGACCAAUCAUUUGGACCGAAAAGACCUGUAGGACCACCAACAGGGCGGCUCCUUCCACCUGCAUCACUACCGCCGCGGCCCCUUCCUCGACCAGCACCACCACCGCCACCACCCAUGCCACCAGCACCCGCAGGGCGAGCUGUUCCACAACGGUUGCACACACCACGGAAUGCAAAAUUCACAUUGGAGCAGCUGCUACAAAGAAAAGGCAUGAGAAAAGAAAAUAUAUUCGCGAAAAAGAGACUGGACUAGUAGUAUGAAAUUUGCAGUGCAAGAAAAGUCGCUCACCAAUCGCCACAGACCUUGUAUUUGGGCAUAACCAAUCACCAUCUUGCUGCCAUGCUUUCCCGGAGGGGUCACCUCGUCCUCUACCUCGGCCUGUGCCGUUGUCCAUUUCAUCAUAUCCGCCAAAAUCAUCUGCCAUACUUGGAUUUGCAGCACUAACUGAGUCACUAACUGAAUCUUUGGUCUUUGACUCAGCUAUGUAUACUUCAAUGGUGCUCCCGUGAAAAUCCUUGUUGUGAAACCAUUCUACUGCAGCCAAAGCAGCAUGCGGAUCCUCAUAUGUAACCGUUGCAUCACCCUUUGGUUCGUCGGUCACUUUAUCCCUGUACAACCAAAUUUUUGGCCUGCCAGUCUUUUUAUCCUUCUGCAGUGAUUCAAACAUACAAACAGCCAAGCAGUGUGAUAAGCAUGUUGGAUAGUUCAACAGAAAUAAUCAUGUUUAAGAGAUUUGAAGAACUUCUGAGAUGGUUUUAAAACGAUACCUGGUGAGACCCCAUACCUUUAGCAACCCUAUAGUGCCAAAAUACUCGGCAAGCAUAUUCUCAUCAGUUCCAGCAGGUAGUUUACAUACGUAGACAGAGCCAUUAGAAGGUCCACCUCUUGAAGCGUAACUUGCCAUCUGACACAAUGUAAAUAACACAUAUAUGAUAUAUUCCUCACUAGCUAGUGCACAUUUGGAGAAAAGUAUUGCUAGACUGACAGACAGCGAUUGAAAGUAAGAUAUAAGAUUGCUGAGGUCACUUAACAGUAACAAAGUAUCAAAAGUUACAUAUACAAAAUUUUCCAACCAAGAGAUAAGCUGAACAUUUGUAAACUUUUUAGAGGUAAAGGCUAUUUUACCAGAAUUAGGGCACAAGAAGUGAAAUGAAAAACUAGUUUGGUACGAUUUACAAAUUGCAAUGAACUUAUUAGCAAAAUGUACUAAAUCAGUCUCCAAGGAACAAAUACAGACCUAGUCAGGGCAUCUGGCCAGUUGUUCAGAAAGACCACUCUUUUGUUCUGUAUUAUUCCUAAUAUAAAAUCCAAGAAAUUUUCUAUUGGAGCGUAAUAAUUUUAGAUUUAGAUAGGCAAGGACAAGGAUCUCCUAUCAGGUCAUGAAUUUAUUUUACUAUCAAUAUAUGUGCACAAGGUGAUAGGCUUAUGACUUCAGAUAAUUUUACAUAACAUGCUCCACAAGAUCUGCGCUAUAUUUGCCGAAUUGAUCGCACUUGUAAUCAAUAAGUUACAAGGAUGUGAUAACAAUAAUGGCACGCAAGAUCACAAGCUUCAGACAAAAUAGUGAACAACCCAACCAAAUAAAUUCUCUUCAAUCUACUUCGACAAAAUCGUGAGCUGCAAGGGAAAAAAGGGGAAAAAAAAAAACAUUGCUAGAUUCACACGAGUUACUCGUCUUAAGAUUUCAUCCACUACUCAAAAAUUAUUAUGCUCAUAUCUACCAAACCAAAAUUUACUCUGCUUGGAAACAUAACAAGUUGCUACACGAAGAUUACGAAUUUCAGCUCUAAUUGCUAAAGAUCACGCCCAAUUUGGGCCUCACUAAACAUCAACAAUAGCAAAAUAGUGUGAAUCACUCAUCUUAAGAUUUCAUCCACGAAUCUAAGAUUAUUUACCAAACCAAAAUUUACUCUGCUUGGAAACAUAACAAAUUGCUACACGCGGAUUACGAAUUUCAGCUCUAAUUGCAUAAGAUCACGCCCGAUUUGGGCCUCACGGAACAUCAACAAUAGCAAAAAUACAUCAAAGAAAUCCCAAAAUCUCGCCCAUCUCCUAAAUCAAACGAACGCCCAUUCCCACGAUACAUAUAAUCAACCAAAAAAUAAAAAAUAAAACCUAGAUCAAUUCGCAAAAUAACCAAUAACAUGAAAAGACCAACCAAAAACCACAAAAUCGAGCAAUAGAUACACGAUCCAAUAGGACUAGUAAAAUUCGCAAAAUCGAAAACUUGGGGCCUGUUGAGAGAUCUAAAAGGAGGAAUUCGCACCUCGAGUAGCCAAUUUUGCGUCGCGAAAACCUUCUCUCGAACGAAACCUAGAAAUAAAAGAACGAAAAGGAGACGAUUGAAGAAGCUGUUUACAGUGGGGUUGAGAAUGGGCCCAGCUUUAUAUGAACAGUUCGAUCGAGGAAACACCGACUGAGCCCAUGUUUAUUUUAUAUGGGAUAGGCCCACUUUUUCAUCAUAGUUUGCUCGCAUUAUAUUGGGUUUAAUUUGGGUUUGGGCCCAAGCGUAGCAACGCGACGAGCACGUGUGUGUAACGUGUGUGCCCAAAAUUUUUUUAACAAGAACAAAAAAAAAACAUAGUUUUUUUUUUUUUAGAGAAAGGCAACACGCUUCAUUCAUUGAUAAUAUGAACUAGACUACAAAGGUGAGGCAACGGGACCCUGCAAAGAAAAAAAAAUAUAGUUGAACAAAAGUAACUUAUGAUUAAUAACUUCUUCUUUUUCUUUUUAUGGAAAUUGAUGAUAAGAGUUACCCACUAACCAAGUAUUAUUAUUAUUAUUAUUAUUAUUAUUAUUAUUAUUAUUUAUAAUAAUAAUAUACUUACGUAAGGUUACAACUACAGGUGAGAAAAUUUUGUAUUGGCUACGGCACAUGUCGUGAAACAUUCAAAAAAGACGAGAGUACGAGACGGAUUGGAUAAGCUUAAUAAUAUGUCUUUUUUUAACUCUAUCUAUCUAUCUAUCUAUCAAUAUUGUUAUAUUGUUGCAGCAAAAAUCCUGCUAUAGUUUUUGCAUCAAGUACCUUUUUUUUAUUUUGACAAAGUUGCCAAUUUUCUCUAGUUUAGAGCACAGGAUUUCUUUGGCACGUACUUAAUCUUACUGAUACCUAGCACAAUUACCUAUAGAUUUAGCAGUUCAUAUUCGGAAUCUCAAAUUUGAAGGCUAGUCAUUUUAUAUUGCUCAUUAACUUCAUUUCUAAAAAAAUAAACAAAAUGAAUAACUUGAUAUCUUUCUUAAAAAGAAAAGAAAUCAAUCUGAUGUACAUACUGUAAAAAUUUGCAUUCGUAAAAAAUAAACGAGCCAUGCUACUUAUAUACCUAAAAUAUAAUGGUAAAUCUUACAUUUUCCUAUCUAAAAAUUAAUUUUCUACACUAGUCUGAUUAAUUUUUUUCUUUACUACUAAAAAUUUACCGACUGUCCCUAACGCAAAUGGCAAAGGGCUGGGUGGUUGGUACCCGAGGUCUCAAAUUCGAAUCCUAGUUGAUUCACAUUCCAGCUAAGUUUAUUUCUAAAUGAAAUAAACGAAGCGGGUAGCGUGCUACCUAUCUCUCAAAAAAAAAAAAAAAAACUAAAAAUUUGAAAAAGCAAACUUAAAUUUUUAGACAGAGGAAUGUUAUAAAUACAUCCAGAUUUUGGAUGCAUAGUUAGCACUUUCUCAAGAUAAAUUACAUGAGAGGGUACCGAUGAAAUAUCUUUUGACAGAAUCCUAAUAAAAGUCAAAGAAGGACCUUCCACUCGACUUCGCCCGACCCAGCCAAAGUCGUUCCUAUCACACCUCUCUUCAAUUCCGCGGCCAUUGCACACAGAGAAGGCACACCACAGAAAACAGGCAACUGGGAAAUUAAAUCUCUCUAUUAAAUUUACGAUCACUAUCCCAUUUUGGCUUCACACGAAUAAUCUGCAUCCAAAUUAUCCACAAUUUCAUUUAUAAAUAGAAGAUCUCUAACAUUUUAUAUUAUUAUACUGCAAUAAAUUCAAGGAAAAAAAAAAUGCGUUGUUGCUACAGCAGAAGUAGAAGCUUAUCUAGUGUGGCCGCCAUGGCCCCCUCUCUUGUUGCACCAAGCUCUGUGCUGCAGUUGAACCUGUCGUCGGGGUUCUACACCGUCAUCGUCUUUUUCUUCGCCUUUCUCUGCUUCGUCCUUCUUUGGGGCUAUUGCCGCCGCGGCAGCAGCGGUCACCGGACUGCCGCCGCACUCCACGGCCACCGCCUUAUGCAGCAGCUGCAGCACCACCCCCACGGCCGCUUCUUCCCGACCGCGGCCUCGACGCCGCUGCCCUCGAUGCCGUACGGUAGCAUCAAGGGCGUGAGAGCGACGGAGACCGGUAAUCCCCCCGAAGACUGCGUCGUGUGCUUGACGAAGUUUGAGGAGGGGGAGGAGGUGAAGGUGAUCCCGACGUGCGCGCACGUGUUCCACCCGCAGUGCAUCGACCGGUGGCUCGCGCUGAACGACUCGUGCCCGCUUUGUCGGUGUUGCAGCAUAUCGGUCAGCGAGAUGGCCGCUACCGGAGGAAGUACGAAUGGUGGCGGUGGUGGUGGCGGUGGCGGUGGUGGUGGUGAAGAGGAAGAGAGAGAUGUUGUAAGGGAGGAGGAGGUGACAAUGGCCAUGGAACAGAUACAAAUGAUCACAGAGGAACGAGCGAGGCAAAGAACAAUCCCACUGCGCAGUAGAAGCAUAUGAUCAUCUCAAAUUAAACUUGCAAUGGUAAUGAAGUGUGUGUUUCACUAACUACAAAUUUUGACAACGCUCGUGUAUAUGACUUCCUCACUCUUUUAGUUUUUGGAGCUUUUAUUAUGAAAAAAACCUUAAAUAUAACUAUAAAUUGUAAGCUUAAAAACUUCAAUUUUGCAUAUUUGGCUGAUUCGAACGCAUACAAAAUUUAUUGGAGAAAAUUUAAGCAAAAAAGGAAAAAAAAAAAAAAAAUGGUACUUCUUAGAAACUCCAGCAGUGCAAAACAAACACUAAUAAAAAAUUAGUUUUCCUCCGGAAUUAGAUGAUUCGACAAUAUCACAUUAAGGUAAGUUUUGACACCUAUUGGUAUUGACAUUUUCUUAGUAGCUCCCACUAAAUAAAAGAAACAUUGUUAUCGCUUACAUAACUAGUUUUUAUUUACUUUCUUUUUUUUCUCGGAAUCACAACACAUUUGAUUUUACAAGUAACUAUUGAAAGAUGCUUGAUCUUACGAUGAAUAUUGACUAUUGAUUAAUUUCAAGAAUAAAUUCAAUAAUUCUACCAUGCAGACGUAAACAUUUAUUCUUGUUUCUACUAGAAAAUGUUAGGGGCGGCUCCUCCAAUAUUUUUUCAAAGAUUGAUUCUCAGGCACGGAAAAACAAACAAAUAAAAUAAAAUAAAAGCUAUUCCCGUUUUCAGUUAAACAGAAUUUCUUCAAUAAUUAAUAAUAAAUCAGUAAUUAAAUUACUAAUUAUAAUACAACUUAAAUUAAAUUAAUGAGAAUAAUUCGUGAUUAAAAUAAAAAAAAAGGGAAGAGUAACUAGAAAUGAACUUCUCUGCGAGUAGGCGAUCUGGGCCUGUUUCGAGUGGGCCCAACGAAAAGAAAGCAAAGAAUCUUGACCCAGUGAUGAUUAACAUAGAAGCUAACUACACCAAAUUGAAAUAAUCACUGGAAUGCUGAUGGAAGUAUACUAUAUUAUCCAAAUAUUAAAAGGUUAGAAAUAAUGAAUUAGGUUAUUAUACUAAUAAUAGCACUAAGCCUUUUGUGCUAUUAGGUUUCGUCCCUUUGUGAUGAAGAAAUAUACGAUUAGGAUAAUAAUAAUUUUUUAGGCUGAGUAGGUGGUUGAUUAAAUAUUAUAAUUUAACAAAUAUAAAUAGUCAAAAAAUUAAAUUUAAUAACGAAAAAUUUAGUAGUACAAAGCGUUUGAUGCUGUUGGUUGUAUAGUAGGUGAACUUUUGAAUCAAUUUAGCUUACUGCUUGAAUGUGAUUUUAUUACGAAUCCAAAAAUAAUAAAAAAACAAAACAUAGUUACUGCACUCCAAUCAUCAAUUACUUAACAUCUCCAACCUCGUCAAACAACACACCAAUCUAAUUAAUUAACCUCAAAAACACACUCAGAUAUCAACAUCACAAUACACUCGAUCAAACGACGUAGGCGACGAGAGCUUUACAAUGACUUGGGGGCAGUACACUCUGAGCAUGUAGUGCCGGGUCUUCACCACUCCUACCUUGAACCGGAUCCUGGCCCGGACCCUCACCUCGACGGGCAGCUCCCCGGCCGACCGGUCGUGCUUAAUGUUCCUCGCGACGUCGGGGAGCAGCGGCGCCUCCCGCGCUGCUGGCGCCGCCUCGAUCCUCGUCACGUUCCUUCGCGGCUGGAAGAACGGCGCCGCCUCCGUAAACGCCAGCAUCUGCUCGCCGUACCACACCGCCACCUCGAAGCUGUCGUAGUACAGCGCCACCUUCCGGUUCCUGCGGUUGUCGGCGCGGAGGGUCAGGUCGAACGUCGCGUUGAGGGCGUCCCCGCGGGCCGUGAUGUUGAAGCCGCGCAGGCUGGCGCCGUCGACGGUGUACUCGACCGGGGCGGGGCGGACAGCGAGCCAGAAGAUGAGGACCGCAAGGCCCGCAACCACGAUGACGGCGGCGAGGGCGAUGGCGAUGCAGCGCAGGGGGCUCAGGCGCCUGCGCGGGGCGGUCCCGGUGCUUCUGCCGCCGCGGCGGGGACCUGCCAUGGUGGUGUUGUAGAGAGUGUUGGGUAGUGUAACUGUUUGAGGAGGUGUAUGGGGGUAGCGUGGUUUUAUACAAAGAAAAAGAGUGGAAUUAAUGGAACUUUUGAGCUAGAAUGAGAAGUGGUGGUUAAUUACAGGCUGGAGGAGAUCCCUGGCCAAUCAACUUUGAUGAUCAGUAGGUUUUGAGAUGGUGCGAUAUAUAAUGUUUGUUUGUUCUCUGUUCUCUGCUUUGUACUACUAUUCUGUGUGUUUCUUUUUUGCUUUGCUUUUUGCCUUUGAAUACUUUUUGGCUUUAGAAUCCUUCUUGUUUACUCUAUGAUUUAUGCAUCUGAAGAGUUCAUAGACACGCUUUUGACAAGAGAUCCGAUGUACACUUAAGAAAUUAAUCUCACUAUGAUUUGAUUCUCUCACUAAUUUUCACGUAUGCUUUGGCAAAUCUUACAAUGGCAACAGUGUUAGAUGAUGGAUACUGUGAUUUGAAUUCAUGAUCUAUUCAUGACUUGAAAAAUUAGCUUGAUGGGAAACAGUGCAGAAAAGAUACUAGCUAGAAUUAAAAAAAUAAAGAAAAAAUCAUCCUUAUCGCAAACUGACAUACUGCAUAAUUGGUUCAAGAACCGGGGAUCAACGAAUUCGGAUGUACGUAGUGUUCUAAUUAGUUCUUACGGGUAUCUUAUUGGAUUAAGCUGUACGUUAUGCCUUCUCCCAGUUUUGUUCUAAGCAUCUUUUUCAUCUACACUUUUUUAAUCCUUGCCAUGCGUCCAAGUUAUCCCAUUAAUGUGCCGGAUAAGCCUUGUGUGCUAAAUUGAACAGCAAGAUUGAGUUGUCGCUUGAGCUCAGCACGAAAUUGAGAAUAAUUCUACCGUUCAUUAGCAGCGUGAUAAUUUUGUGUGUCGAAAUUUAUUUAGUUUUGGACUUUGGGCAUAAACAUUAAGUACAAAAUUCAGGACCUGAUAUGACCAUAUAUACUUGAUAUGAUCGGAACCUUAUAUAUAUAUAUAUAAUAUCAGAAGUUAGGGCCUUGAUAUACUUUACAAGUAUCACCCAAGUGAUACUUGUGUGGUUUUUAAGCCAUUUGGAAUCACUUUUUGGAUUACUAAUAGAUCCUGGAUCAAACACUAUUUCCACUAUCCCACCUACCACCAUCAUCUCAACCUCAUAAUCUUCUCAUCCAAGGGCCUAAAAACACACAAGUAUUCACUUGGGUGAUACUUUUACAAGAUAUUCUAGCUCUACUGCGUAGUUAAGUAUAUAGAUAUAGGCUAUACGUAUAUAGAGUGAGAGCAGUACUCAUCUAUCGGAAGCACGGAGCACUUCCGUUGCCUUCCAGCUCGUUUUUUGAUGUUGCAUUUUCAAAUCGGUCGAUCGGCUCCGUUAAAUUGUGAUCUAGAGUAAUUUGGAGUACCUAGAAAGUUAAUUAUAUGUAUUUUACGGAUAUCAGUGCUGGCCUGGUGAACGAAGGGGCUCAAAAGUCAACGGCAAAAAAAUAGAAUCUUACAAAAUGUAAUAAUAUGACUUAAAUUUAAGAAAUCAAAGAUAUUGAUCUUGAUUUUAUAUAGCAUAAAGAUUUUCAUCAAAAAUUUCACGUGAUGUUGAAAGUAUUUCUACACCGUUAAACUUGCAAACGGCCUCACUAACGGGCCUUUGAAUUUGUUGAUUUUGAGGGCCUAUUCGACUCACAUAGGCAAGCGGCUGAUAUCGAAAAAUAAUAAAAUUUACUUUCAUAGGUACUCCAAAUACUCUAGAUCAAAGUUUAAACGGAGCCGAUCGAGAUUUUCGGAAAAUCGCAACAUCGAAAAACAAGCUGGAAGCACGGAAGCUCCAUGCUUCCAGAUACCAUAAGUAGCCUACUCGAAUAUAGAUAGGUAUAUAGUGUAAUAGUAUGUAGUAUAUAUAUGUAUAUAUAUGGUAAGUAUAUAUGUGAAUAAUAAUAGCUAUAUAUAUAUAACAGAAUUGGAGCUCCUAUACUUUUUAGAAGUACCAGUCAUUGGUGCUUGUAAGUUGUAUCCCUUGGUUAAGGAAGUGCGGUUUAAGAUGAAUGUGGGCCCGUAGGGUUAAGUGGUGGUUGGUUGAAUAGUAUAAUUAACGGUGAAAAUUUGAUCAAGGCAUAAUAACGUAAAAAAUUUACAAGCACAAAUAUUUGGUACUAUUUACAGGCACCAUAGCCGGACUAGUAUAUAUAAAUAUAUAAUUAUAUAUAUAUAUAUAUAUAUAGUAUAUAAUAUAUAUGUGUGUGUGUGUGUGUGUGUGUGUGUGUGUGUGUGUAGUAUGGAAAAUUUUGGAUUGGCCAUAAUAAUUGAAAUAAAAGGAUGCAAGAGAUUCCCACAACCAAGCCAUCUUGGUAGUAAUAAUUUGGUUAAAUAUUAUAGCUCUAUCAGCUAUCAGCUAUUAAUUAUUAAUUGUUUCAGAUUUUUUUUACCAAAAAAUAAUUAAAAUUAUUAAUAUCGAGAGAAUUAUCAAUAAAUUUGGUAAAUUUAUUUGAAAAAAAAUCAUAUAAUUUUUUUUUUAAAAAAAAAAGUAAAGAAGGUGUCAAUUAUAAAGACGUAUAGGAUGAACUGCGUCGGUCCAGUGGACAAGGGCUAGGCCGAUUCCAAAAACAUGCGGAUCGGGCUUAAUUUGGUUGGGCCAAAAAUAGGCCGAGAACCCAUUCAUCGACUCUACAAGGCUUCUGUUUGGGUUUCUCCACAUUUAUGGCCCAAAUUCCAAGGCGCUCAUCUAGGUAUGUUUGUUUUAUCCAAAGUAAAAGUGACCAAUGUGUUAAAUUUUGCUGCAACUUUACCUUUCCAAAAUAUCAUAAGUGGCAUCGAUUUGCGUGUUACAAGAUCCUCCAUUACAAAAAAGAAAAAAAAAAAAAGAAGAAAAAUGUAGGAAAAAUAACAAAAAUUUUACCCGUUGACUCUUUUCAUCCUCUUACGUGCUACUAGUAUGAAAUUUCUUUUGAAAAAGAAAGAACUAUGGUCCAAAAGUCCACGCAAAGAGAGAAAUGGUGGACUCGUUCGCAUGAUACGACGGCACCCACUCGCACCCAACAACACCAACAAAAAAAUGGCUAUACACGAACAAAAUGAUCAUGAGUUGGAUUAGGUCCAACAACUUCUUAUCGGCGCAUCGUCGAUGCGUACGACCAGAGUGAGCCACCGAUCACCAUUCCAUUCAAUGUGUAAUCCACAUUCACAGUAUUUCAUAUUUUAUGUCCAAUAUUUCUCACCAUAUCUCAGUUCCUAACAUUUUAGUUAUUCCAAAAUAUGGAUUCAUAAAAAUUUCAAACGUAAAAGUUUUAAAAUAUUAAGUUGCUAAAGAAUGGUAUUUUAUUUUGCCACCGCCCUGUUUUUACUCUCGUGGAUGAUGAAACCAUAGAUGGAUAAAAACUCAAUAUGUAGUUUCAAAAUAUAUAAUAAUAUCUCCCCAGAAGAGGACAAAAGAGCAACCUAAUUACCUAAAUUUUAAAAAGCCGUUUUACUACGUCAACGCGUUAUAUUAACCGAGGAGAAAACGAUACCCAGUGCAAAGUCUACGAGGCCACGCAUGGGAAAAUGCCUCAGCACUAGGAGUGGUUUUUUGCGUUACAUUAAUAAUCUCGGUGGCAAAACAUUAUAGCGUGGAGAUUAUAUUACAUAAUUUGUGCUUCCACAAAUCACAAAGCACGUGACAUAAGAGGAGAAAUAUUUAAGGUGGCGGACAUUUAGAUAUGCCUCUAUAUGUUACCUAUACCAUCUUACAUUCGGUGUACGCUAGUAGGUUCAUCAGGAGCAUUUCCUUUAUUAGAUAUUUGGGCAAGUAGGAGUAUGACACACUUUAUUCUCCCAUUUGUUGGGGAAUAAUAAAUUGUGAACUUAGGUCAUGGGUGAUGAGUUUUGCAGAGUUUCAUCCCUCCACCCUAUUCGGGUUCGAAUAAGACCUGAUAAAAAAUAAAUAAUAUAUAAAGAAAAAAUUAUACAUUAAAUUUCGGAUAUGAGUUCAGAUACUUUAUACCCAUGCUUGGCUUGGACUCGACUUGAACACGACCUUUUAAUGGAUAGAGUNUCCUCCAUUACAAAAAAGAAAAAAAAAAAAAGAAGAAAAAUGUAGGAAAAAUAACAAAAAUUUUACCCGUUGACUCUUUUCAUCCUCUUACGUGCUACUAGUAUGAAAUUUCUUUUGAAAAAGAAAGAACUAUGGUCCAAAUGUCCACGCAGAGAGAGAAAUGGUGGACUUGUGUUCGCAUGAUACGACGGCACCCACUUCGCACCCAACAGCACCAACAAAAAAAUGGCUAUACACGAACAAAAUGAUCAUGAGUUGGAUUAGGUCCAACAACUUCUUAUCGGCGCAUCGUCGAUGCGAACGACCAGAGUGAGCCACCGGUCACCAUUCCAUUCAAUGUGUAAUCCACAUUCACAGUAUUUCAUAUUUUAUGUCCAACAUUUCUCACCAUAUCUCAGUUCCUAACAUUUUAGUUGUUACAAAAUAUAGAUUCAUAAAAAUUUCAAACGUAAAAGUUUUAAAAUAUUAAGUUGCUAAAGAAUGGUAUUUUAUUUUGCCGCCGCCCUGCUUUUACUCUCGUGGAUGAUGAUGGAUAAAAACUCAAUAUAUAGUUUCAAAAUCUAUCUAACUAUAUUAAAGAAGGGUUUGGGGGACCACAUGGUGACACGUGUUCCCCCAAACCCCCCUUCUCUCUCCCUAUAUAUAUAUAUAGUUUUAAAUUUGUUAUAUCAAAAUAUAAAAUUUUGAUANUACUUCCAAAUUUUAAAGUUUUAAAUUUCUAAUUUUAUAUUUUUUAUUUAAAUUUUAAAUUUUAAUUUUUACUUAUAAUAUUUGUUUCUAAAUUUUAAGCUUUUUAAACUUCAAAAUUUUAAAGUUUUAAUUUCCUAAUUUUACAUUUAAAUUUUAAAUUUUAUUUUUUACUUAUAUUAUUUAUUUCUAAAUUUUAAGCUUCAAAGUUUAAAAUUUUAAAUCUCUAAACUCUAUGAAAUUAAUUAAUUAAUUAAAUUUAUUAAUAAUUAGUUUUAUACAAUAUAAUUAAUUAAUUUAUUAAAAAUACACAUAAUAAAUCGCAUAAUAAAAUAUAAUUUGAUAGAUGAAAUUUAAAUCACAUAAAAUUUCAUUGUAUAAAAAAAAUACGGAAUUUAAGUUUCAGGAGUAAAAUUUUAAAAAUAUAGUGUAUGUGUGUAUAUAUAAUUAAUUUUAUUAAACAAUAUCUUCUACAAUUUUAUUUUCCUUCUAUUUAUUGAUUUUUUUAAAAAAUUAUUUUGAUAGAUUUAUCUCAAAUCCUUUUCAUAUAAUUUUUUAUAAAAUAAACUAUUGUAUAAAUUUACUUUGCGCAUAUACCAAUUUUAAUGACUUUUAUUUAAAUAGAUUUAACUAUUAAAUUAUUUUUAUAUAACUUUUAUUUAAUUAAUAAUUAGAUUUAUAAAACUAUAUAAAAAUAUUAAAAAAAUUAAAAUUUAUUAUAAAAAUAUUUUUAUAUUCGCAGCAUCGCGCGGGUAUUUUACUAGUAUAUAAUAAUAUCUCUCCCAGAAGAGGACAAAAGAGCAACCUAAUUACCUAAAUUUUAAAAAGCCGUUUUACUACGUCAACGCGUUAUAUUAACCGAGGAGAAAACGAUCCUCGGUGCAAAGUCUACGAGGCCACGCAUGGGAAAAUGCCUCAGCACUAGGUGUGGUUUUUUGCGUUACAUUAAUAAUCUCGGUGGCAAAACAUUAUAGCGUGGAGAUUAUAUUACAUAAUUUGUGCUUCCACAAAUCACAAAGCACGUGACAUAAGAGGAGAAAUAUUUAAGGUGGCGGACAUUUAGAUAUGCCUAUAUAUGUUACCUCUACCAUCUUACAUUCGGUGUACCCUAGUAGGUUCAUCACGAGCAUUUCCUUUAUUAGAUAUUUGGGCAAGUAGGAGUAUGACACACUUUAUUCUCCCAUUUGUUGGGGAAUAAUAAAUUGUGAACUUAGGUCAUGGGUGAUGAGUUUUGCAGAGUUUCAUCCCUCCACCCUAUUCGUUCGAAUCUGAUAAAAAAUAAAUAGUAUAUAAAGAAAAAAUUAUACAUUAAAUUUCGGAUAUGAGUUCAGAUACUUUAUACCCAUGCUUGGCUUGGACUCGACUCGAACACGACCUUUUAAUGGAUAGAGUCCGAAAGAAUUUUCAAAUUCAGACCCGGUGAAAUACUCAAUUGUAAAUAAAAAAAAUUAAAAUUGAGGGAUCAACUUCAAUAGAACUUAUAAAUAAAGAGUCUUUAUGUAUUUUCUACCUAGUAAAAAUCCUAAUUGCACUGUUCACUCUUUUUAUAUUUUUUUUAUUUUACUCCUUAUGUUUUUAACUCUAAUUGUUUACUGUUUGAAUUUUUCUUAUAAAAAAAUUUUAUUGGACUGAGUGCAACUAAUUAGAACGUGAGUUUUCUAUAGUGGGAGGUUUAUGAUUUAUCCAUAAACAAUUUAAUAAAAUCUAUAAAAAAUAUAUGUAUAUGAAUAUUAUGACCCAAUUUAGACCCGACCCGUACCUAAUCCAUACCGAAUCUUAAAUAAGUAGUAAUACGAGUAGUCACUAGCCAGAUCUGCUCAAAUAGACCGAUGGGUAUAUUAUUAACUUAAGCAUUCAGAUCCGAAUCCAAUCCGAAGUUAAAUGGGUAGAAUAUAUAUAUAUAUUUUUCUACCCUUUUUUUUUAAGGUACGGAUACAGUAUGUCAACUAUCCAGACCCGACCCGGUCCACAGACACCUUUAUAUGAGAUGCAUCACAAGUUAGUAGAAACUUAUCAUUUAUAUAUUUAUAUAUAAAACAGAUAUAUUAGAUUUUUUAAAUAAUAAGAGUAGAUAUUUUUAGAAAUGAUAAAAGACAUAUACAAUUUGGAGUUUUCUUAUUCUAACUGUCAAAUUUACGGAACAUUUGCAGAAGCUUAUCACUGAAGAUUUUCUCCCCUUGAAUAACUUCAUCCUCUAAUUUUAUCAGCAUUUAGGAGUUGCUAAGUGCAUAUGUUAAAUAUAAAAAUAUUUAAACACCAUUCUCUAUCGGCUUAAAUUUUUAGAGUACAACGGUUGUUUCACAUAGUAUCAGAACAGGAGAUCCUGAGUUUGAGUUACGCCGGGCUCUUACCCGAGACGUAAGAGAGAGUGUUAAAUAUAAAAAUAUUUUGUGUACCUAGCCCAUAAUAUGAUUAGUUUCGAGUGACGAAAAUGCCAACAUUAUGAUGUUAAUGUGGUUCAUAAUAAGUUAACUAACUUUGAUUAUAGUUCAUCUUUUGUGUACCUGCUCCAAUAAACACUUCGAUCGUCAUGAAAGUGUCAUAUACCAUAAAUAUUUAUGUUACGCAUACGCUUACUACGUAGGUUUUGAUGAUUAAGAAAGCUCACCUUUUCUGCACAUAUUAUUCUUAUCUAAACAGCAUUAGUUGCUAUUUAUAUUCACCAAUUAUUCGGUAAGCAUCCUUCGUGUACUUGUUUAGUGAAGUAAGCGAGACAGUUAAUAUGAAUAUCACAUAGUUUUUGUACUUGUUUUCUGAUGUUAAGUAUGAGCCAUGUCUCACUCUGAUUUGAUAACAGCAUUGUAAAGAAGGUAACCUAAUGAACUAGUCCCUCCAUCAACAACACUCACUUAUUAGGGAUUCACAAAUUAAGCGAACAGCGCGAGUUUUUACAAAUUAAGCACAUACAAAGAAAGAGCUAGCAGACCUAAUGAAAUGCUUUUUUUUUUUUCGCAACUCUUUAGGGCAUCUGCUGCUACUGUUAAAACUCAGCUGCAUUACAAAUACAAAAGCGAAAGUACCGAAGGCACUGACGUGAUUGCGCCGACAGCGUUAAUAAUUAAAGAUAAGUGAUAUCGCAAAAUUAUUUAUUGCUAAACAACUGUGACUCUGAUAGUUUACCUGCUUUCUCAUUGUCUUGUUGUUGAAUUUUUCGACGGUAAUAGUUUGAGAGGGAUCUUUUUCGCUCCUCUCGUCAUUUGACGGUCGCCGACCUUAUUGAGUGAAGUCACUGCUAGCCUUAUACUGUUGUGGUUAUUGUCAAUUUUAUUUUAAUCUAAAGUAUAAUUCGCAACUAUUAUUAGUUCAACUCGGUUGCUGCAACAUUUUACAGUUACAUACUACAAAUUUAGAAUAUUUAGUAGUACAAAAUUUUGAAGCGCAGUCAAUAAAUAUCAACAUUUGUAGCACCAUACAUGUGAAACGAAAAGGUCUCAGUGCGGUCAAGCUUUAUAUCUCUCUCAAAGAACCUAAUCUGGCAUGACAUAUACUCACUUAAAGGCUAAAGCAAGAAAAUGGCCUGUUUGAUUCAUUUUCUAAUUGUUUGCAUGAGCAGCGGUCCAUUCUGUGUACUCUUUCAGGUCACUAUUAUGUUUCUGUACUAUUUCAGGACCGAAAGAAUGAGUCGUGAACGUAUCCAUAAUGUGAUUGACGGAAACCAGAAGCAGGAAUAUGAGACGUCGAAAACAGCUUCACCAUUAGCGGUAUGAACGGAACGGUUUCAAAGCCAAAUUGAAUAAGCUAUCGAAAACAGCUACACUAAUUGAUGCGAACUUAAAAUAUCAGGUUGGGUUUCGGAUAAAUGAACUAUAAUGAGCCCGAAUCAAGUAUCUGUGAAUUUAGUAGCUGUAUCACCAAAAUCCGUCGGCACUACUUGUAGGAAGUGUUCCCGACCAUUCGAAUCAUAAGCAGAUCGGGGUUAGUGGGUGUGGAUUGUAUUAUAUUGACACAAACUAGCUCGAAAGAAGCGCGGGUUUAUUUACGCUGCAUACUUUCGCAUGCUGUUUACUAUUAGUAUAGAGAUAUAAACAUCAUGGCUCAUCUUUAUUUUAAAACUGACAGCAAAUCUGACAUAGAAUGAUUUGGACUAAAGAGAGUAACAUUUAAUCAGUUGACGCUAAAACAGCAAUCUGAUAUAGAGAAUACAAAGCGAGGAUGGAAAAAAUGAAAGGAACAAAUACUUUUAGGAAAUGAUUUGGACUAAAGAGAGCAACAUUUAAUCAGUUGACGUUAAAAGGUUUUGCGUCAAAGUAAACUACAGAUAAAUCCAUCACUGUUCUGUACUACGUGCCAGACAAAAGAAGAGACAAGAGUUACACUGACCACGACCAUUCAGUUUUUCAUGACCAAAUCAUUUGAUCUCUUUAAUUUGUAAUCAUCCGAUCUCUUUAAUUCUCUUUAGAGCACAAAAAAUCAUUUGAAUCCUGAAUCCUUCAUUUAUCACAAGCGGCCCAGGCGUCGCGCAAUGUUCCAAGUUGAAUGAACAGAACUGCUUCCACAAUUAUAGCUAAGAAAGAUCGACAAAAAAGAAAAGAAAUAUUAGUAAAUUAAAGAUAUUCGGUCAUUUCUACUCCGUGGAACGGUUGUUUCAUGGACCGCUUAUCGGAGGAUGCUGUCCAAUUGUAGUCUAGUUUUGUGAGCUCGUUGACAUUAAAUCAAACCGAUAGCCGUCUGAUCAUGCCAUUAUAAUAAUAAUGGAACCUCUAAAGGUUGUUCCACUAAGAUAUUUUGUAAUUUAGAGCACUGAGCAGGCUAUAAAUUGAAAGUUAUGGGCAGCUAGUGUGGCUCAAGUUUCUCCAGCUUUUCUAGUUUACAAGCCUACGAAAAAGGUGGAUGCUCUCUACGCAUGAAAUCAUAUUUUUUGUGUUUCAACUUUACUCUCAUUCUAGGCUUCUGAACACUUGAGUUCACUGUGUUUCAGGUCACCUUAAUUCGCAUGAUCUGGGUAAUGCUUUCAAUCUUGUGAAGCGACAAUCAGGGAAUUUUCCUGCGCAAUUCAAACUGCAGGCAGGAUAUAAAAUCAUUUGCAGAAGCUAAGAAAGUAAGUUCAGUAUAGGUAAAUGAAUUCAUCUCUUCUGUCACAUGCAACUUUGGUACUAUUUCGUACUUAGCUCAGUGUGUUUAACGGAGAGAAUUUGACUACCGUAUGUUCAUUGGUUCUCAAUAAGACUCCGUAUAAGGUAGUUUGCAUGUCAAAAACACGGUAAUUAGGAAGAUAUUAGGCUUCAGAAUAAGAUACAAAGUUCAGAAAAAUAAAAAUAAAAAUAAAAAAACGUCUGAACAAGGAGAUAAAUCAUUGAAAAGAAAAGGGUAAGAAGGUACUAAUGAAGUGCUUUUUGAUAAAGGUUUGUCUCUUGAGUGUGACAGAGUAACAAAUCUUUAUAUUCAGAGUUCUGAUCCCAAAAAGAAACGAACACAAUGUCGCCAACAUGUUUUGUGAUCAUAUAUUGCUCUACUUUCUAAUGUUUGUUUGCGAGUUGGUACGCUCUCGAAAUCACAGCCUCCAAACUCGCUACAUUGAUAGAGUGUAUCAGCAAAACUAAUAAAUACACAAUUCAGGUCUAUUGACAUGUUUAAUUCCUGCAGAAAAAAGAUUUACAAAAAUGCAUUCGGGAAAAAGAGUGGCGCUGGCUUCGGUACCAGAAGUGGUCCUAGGCUCGGUCGCCUUUGCCAUAUUCUGGAUGCUCGCUGUUUUUCCUGCUGUUCCCUUCCUGCCCAUCGGAAGGACAGCGGGGUCUCUCCUCGGUGCUAUGUUAAUGGUUGUCUUUCAAGUCAUCAGCCCCGACCAGGCCUACGCCGCGAUCGACCUCCCGAUCCUAGGCCUCCUCUUCGGCACAAUGGUGGUUAGUAUAUAUCUUGAGAGGGCCAACAUGUUCCAGCACUUGGGCAAAUUACUCUCUUGGAAAAGCAAAGGCGGUAAGGACUUGCUAUGCAGAGUCUGCCUGGUCUCCGCACUUUCAAGUGCUCUAUUCACCAAUGAUACUACUUGUAUUGUGCUGACAGAGUUCGUUCUCAAGCUCACGAGGCAGCAUAAUCUGCCCGUAAAACCGUUUCUUUUAGCUCUUGCCUCUAGUGCCAACAUCGGGUCUAGCGCGACUCCGAUUGGCAAUCCACAAAACUUGGUUAUAGCCAUCCAAAGUAAGAUCACCUUUCUAAAGUUCUUCACCGGAAUCGCGCCCGCGAUGCUCCUCGGUGUGGCGAUCAACAUAGUGAUUCUUCUUUGCAUGUUCUGGAAUCAACUUUCCGCAAAGAAGGCCGCAGAGGAGGUUAUGGAAGAGGCAGUUGCUGAGGAUGAAGUGCUCUCGCACAAGUUCUCUCCUGCGAGAAUGUCGCAUAUGAGCCCACUAGAGGGCCCUGCUGAAAACCAUAAUGUUCAGAAGAAUAGUCCAAAGACCGACACGAAGAAAUCAUUGCCGUGCUCUGACAUGAAAAAUUGUUUGAGUAAGAAGGACUUGUUUUUGAAGAGCUUUGUUUAUCUUGUGACUGUUGGGAUGCUGGUUGCUUUUCUUCUGGGGUUAAACAUGUCGUGGACUGCGGUUACUGCUGCGCUCGUACUCGUGGUUAUCGAUUUCAAGGACGCCGGACCUUCCUUGGAUAAGGUAAUGCACGAAUUUACCCGACUGAUAUAUAAUUCACUAACUGCUUAUAGAGCCGACGCUUAUCAAUUCCCUGAAUUCUGAAUCUUGAAAGUGUUUGUUUGCGGACGAUGAUCCAGGUUUCGUACUCACUGUUGGUGUUCUUCUGCGGAAUGUUCAUAACUGUCGACGGAUUCAACAAAACCGGGAUACCGAGCGCUUUCUGGAACUUCAUGGAGCCGUAUGCGAGGAUCAAUCAUGCAAGCGGAGUGGCAGUGCUCUCCCUUGUCAUUCUACUGCUGUCGAAUGUUGCGUCCAACGUGCCUACUGGUGAGCCGGUCUCUGGUCACAAAAAGAUGUUAUUUACGUCGAGAUAUCGGCCUCUUGUUGUGAUCCAAUCCUAUCCUACCUUCUGUCAUUUUGGCUGCAGUGCUGCUUCUUGGAGGGCAGGUGGCGAGGUCGGCGGCGGCGCUGUCGCACUCGGAGGAGGCGCGGGCGUGGCUGAUACUGGCGUGGGUGAGCACGGUGGCGGGGAACUUGUCGCUGCUGGGGUCGGCGGCGAACCUGAUCGUGUGCGAGCAGGCGCGGCGGUCGCAGGACUACGGCUACACCCUCUCCUUCUGGGGCCACCUCGUCUUCGGCCUCCCCUCCACCCUCAUCGUCACCGCCGUCGGUCUCCCCCUCAUCCGAGGCUAACCAACCUACCUACCUGCAGAUCACUCGAGGAGGAGUGCGAGAUCAAUUAAUUUUAUGCUGGAUUUGUAUACCUAAUGAAUGUCAUGAUGAAUGUCAUGUUGCAUGUGUUUUCUUAUUUCUUCUUUUGUAUAUUUUCCCGCGCUGUCUCGUUGGUUGCCGUUUCGUGGGCGCGCCUUGUUAUAACCGAAAGAAAAUCAAGUCCGGCUACUAUCCUCUAAAGAGGAUAGAAGUCUUUAUCGUAUCAUUUCAUUGUUCAUGAUUUGAACUUCAAAUUGAUAAUCGGUAUUAUUGAAAUUGAUCUAAGCUAUUAAAAAUAUUUAGAAACCAAAUUUUAUAAUUUUUAAAAAUCAUUAACAAGUCCUAAAAGUAGAAAAAUGAAUGAUCAAAAACAAAUAAUCUUCUGAAAAUAAAGAUUAGACUUUCUCAAUUUACGAUCGAAGUUAUUAAACAUUAUCUUAAUAGUAUAAAAAAUUUUCUAUCAAAAAUUCAACUGGUUUAGAUUACUGUACACUGUUAAACAAGCAAACGGCUGAUAUAGACCAUCAAAAAAUUACCAAUUUUGCCAUCCUUUAAUCACUAUGUAAAUAAAUUUUAAAAUUUAUAAAAUUUAGUUUCUAUAUAAUUUAAAUACUUUAGAUCAAUUUUACCUGUUUCAAUCAUCGAUUUGGAUUCUUUAUUAUCAAAAACAAUUUGAUAGGAUGAACAUCCCUAUCCUCCUAAAAAGAUAGCAGCUGGAUUCAAAAAAAUAAGCUUACAAACGUAGUGUACGAGGCAUAGAGAUAGAAAAGUUGGUAAGCGGUUAAAUCAAACUUUUUAUAGUAAAAUAAUAUUUGCUUAAAAUAUAUUUUAAGUAAAUUAAAAUCGUGAAUCGUAAGUGCUAAUCAAUUAUUUCAAAAAUACGUACUGAUAAAAAAGGCGCACCAAUCACAUUCAAAGGCUUAGCCAUAACACUCGCUGGCUUCGACCUGACUCAACUCAUUUUGACGUUAGGUCUAUUGUUGAACCUCUUACCGUUAGGUUUUCUGUGGACCGCACAUCCACUCAAUUUAUCAGGCUCACACAAUUCAAUUGACUAAUCUUCUAUGUCUAUUGUCACGGAGCAGUUGUUGGACCUAUUUUAACCCAACAAAAAAUAAGAAAGGGCCAUUAUAUAUAUAUAUAUAUAUAUAUAUAUAUAUAUANUAACCCAACAAAAAAUAAGAAAGGGCCAUUAUAUAUAUAUAUAUAUAUAUAUAUAUAUAAUGCAUGCUUGACGUUGCAUUAAGCGGCCGAUCUAAUAUAAUGACAGUUGAAUCUAAUAAAUAGUUCAUUUGAACAUUAAUUAAUGGAAUAAAAAUUCUUAAAAAUAUUUUUUAUUUAUGUAACAUUAAUGACUAAUUUAUUUUUUUAUUUUUUAUAUUUAUUCUCAAUUAUAUAUUGAUCUUACAGUUAAAAAUUUCUGUAUACACCACUAAUUGCAAUGUGAGAAAAGUACAAGAACUAUAGGGAUUAUUGGAUGAUAACAGCUAACUAACUGUCGAAGUGGCCUGUUUCAGACAAUAUUAUUGGCUUGAUUUGAUCUUUAAUUGAACCAAAUAAAUGAACAUUGAUCAACUGUUUAAUUUGGAUUUAUUUUGUCGCACUUAACUUCGUGUUCAGAUCUCAGUUAGGGAUAAUACGAGUUGGCUCGUUAAAGUAUGGAGUUGAAAAAUUCAGCUUGUAUUUGGCUCAUUUAUUAACAGACCGAACACCAGUUAAUUCACAAGCAACUAAAAAAAAUUUUAAAAAUAUAUAUAUAGAAAAUAAAUUUAUGAGAUCUUAUUUAUUAGAUUUUGUUCUAAUGAUUAAAAUUUUUUAUAUAAAUGAGAUUUUUUAUAAUUGAGUUGGACUUUAUAUUUAAAUUGGACUAAAAAUUAAAUAAUAAAAAAUCUAUAUUAUAUAUAUAAUUAUUUACUUAUAUAUAAAUAUAAAAUAUAUAAAUUAUAUAAAUAUAAAAUAUAUAUAUUUGAGCUGUUAUUAAACCAAACACGAAUAAGCUGACCCCAAAUCGUAUUCGGCUUAUUUAUUAAACGAGUUGAAAAAUUCAAUUCAUGUUCGACUUAUUUACUAAACGAACGAUUUAAUCUCGAGCUCAUUUCGAGUUGAACACAAGUCGGCUCGUAAACAACAACCUGAAUUGCCACCCUUAAUCUCGGUUUGUUCGACUUCGAUUAGAAUUAAAAAUAGUAUAGAACAAAAAAUCUGAAAAAGCAAAUCAAAAUUAAUUAUUUUUUCGAAUAAAAUAAAUUAUCUAUUAUUUUAUUAAACUAUGUCUAUGUAUGCUACGAAAUUAAAAAAAAAAAAAAAACACCCUUAAAUAUAUUAUUUUCCUCUAUUUAAAAUCAUAAAAAAAUUAAAAUUAUUCCACGGAUUGGCAUUGAACUAGGGUUUCCACCGGUCCCCUACCUUUACCUCUCUCUCCUCUCCGCCGCAUAAAUUUAUCUCUGCGGGAGCGCGCGUUUUGUGUGUUUUGAUCCCUUAUUUGUCGUUCCCUACGAUUCCAAUGGACGGGUUAACGACGGCGAAGGCCGAUCUAACGGUGUACGUGCACCCGUCGAAGUCCAACAAGCUCGCCGAUGCCGUUCGUAAGCAGCUCAGCUCUCUCCUCUUCACGUUAGUCGCCGUUUCCCCUCUUAAAUAUAUGUAUAUGUAUAUAUAGAGUAGGACGUGUGUGUUAUUAGAAGCACUGGGGCGUCCGUGCUUUUGAGCCGUUUUCGAUUAUUGAAAUUUUGAAUCGAUGAUCGGCUCCGUUAAACUUGAUCAAAAAAUCCCCCUACACAAAUAUUAGCACCUACUAGAAAUUCACCCUAAGGUAUUUUCAAGUUAGUGUGCUAUUUACAGUAUCUAUCGACAAAAAUCUACUUUUAUCUUGUUGGUUGAUUUGUAUGUUUUGAUAAUUUAUUUAACUCUUGAAAUUUAUUUAACUCUUGAUAACAUUUUAAAACAGUUUCAAUUUCAGUAAAUUUACAAAUCCAAAUUGAGGAUCUUAGAAUUAUCUAAAAAAUAAAUUUUAUAAUUUUUCGAUAUUAUUUACUUAGUAAUCAAAUUGACUAAAAAUGAACGACUAAAAAUAAAAAUCUUACAAAGUUAUGAUGUAGCAGUAAAAUUUCGAUCAGAAAUAUUGAUCAGACUGUAGAUAGUAUAAAGAUUUUUCUAUCAAAAUUUCAUCUGAUUUAAAUACUUAUGCACUACUAAACAUAUAAACGGCACACAUCAACCAUUAAAAAUUAUUGAUUUUGAGCCCUUUCGAUCAGUGGUAAAUAACAUCAAAAAAUUACAAAAUUUAUUUUCUAGGUGCAUUAAAUAUGCUAGGUCAAGUUUAACGAAACUAAUUGUCGAUUUGGAAGUUCCAUCAUCGAAAAUGGUUCGGAAGCACGGAGACCUCCGUGCUCCUAAUAGCACACAAGCCCUACUCUCUCUCUCUCUCUCUCUCUCUCUCUCUCUCUAUAUAUAUAUAUAUAUAUAUAUAUAUAUAUAUAGAGCUAGGCUGGUAUACUAUCGGUAGCACGGAGACCUCCGUGCUACCAAGUUGUUUUCAAUGAUGUAGCUUUCAAAUCAACGAUCGGUUUCGUUAGACUUGAUCUACAUUAUUGAAAGUAUUUGGAAAACUAAAUUUCAUAACUUUUUGACAUAUUUUGGUUAGUGAUCAAAAGGUGUCAAAAUUAACAAUUUUAAUGGUAGAUGUGAUGCGUUUGUGAAUUUAACGGUGUAAAAUAAUCCAAAUCUGAUAAAAUUUUUAUAGAAAAUUCUUUUCACUAUUUUAGGUAAGAUCAUUACAUCUGAUCUUAAAUUCAAGUUUUUAUUAUUAUUUUUUAUGCAGAUUUUUAUUUUCAGCGCUUCAUUUUUAGACUACUCGUUUGAUAGGUAAAUAAUACCGAAAAUUAUGAAAUUUAGUUUCCAAUACUUUCAAUAGUGUAGAUCAAGUCUACGCCGAGACCGAAUCAUCGAUUUGGAAGCCGCAUCAUUGAAAACAAUUUGGUAGCAAAGGCCCUCGUGCUACUGAUAGUAUAUCAGCCUGCUCUCUCUCCUCUCUCUCCUCUCUCUCCGUCUCCUAUAUAUAUAUAUAUAUAUAUAUCCAUAAUUUUAAUAAUGAUUUUGUUGGUGAUUUUUAUUUUGAGAAUCAGAUACUCGUUCAACCAUACGUAGCAAAGUAAAUUACACUUCACAUUCCUCUAUAUUUGUAAUCUCACUUGAUAUUUCAUAUUCUCUUAAUAUAGAUACGACGAACUCUUCGACGGCGUUCUACUAUCUCAUAAGAUAAGUUUCCAAAGUAACCAUGCAAAGAUUCUGCAUGGUUUAAUCCCGUACUUCGGAGUAAAAGUGCGAGCGAAACUGCUAAUCUUUUCUCCAAAACCAAACAUGCUCUUAGGUGAAUUGAACUUACAUUAUAACGAUCGUCCUACUUAAUGAGUUUUAUGUUCCAAGAGAUAUGAUUUGGAUCACAAUAUUGAGUUGCUAAACUUAACCUGCUUAAAUAAUGCAUUACAACUCUACAGAAGGAAAGGUCGUCAAGCUGAGUAAGGAAUCUAUUCAUGUCAUCGUACUCGGCUUUACUUCGGCGGCCAUUAUGUCGGAAGAUAUUCGAGAAGAGUUCAAGUACAAAAUCGUAAGAUUUAUAACAUUUAACAUGUUAGCAUAUAUAGGCCUUGUUCUGCUUCGGUGUGAAUUAUAUUUUAGGUUUUUCGGGUCUGUAAUAGGUUUCAAUAGUGACUCUUUCUUAGUUUAAGUACUUGUAUAUGUUUCUCUGUCCUGUACGAAGUUCCUAGAAGCUUUUUAUUUGCUAUCAAAAUGGAAAUUUCUAUAAGUUACGCCUUACAGAUAGGCCUCAUGUUGCAUCACUUGGAUUCUAGUUUCCUCGAUUUCAGUUCGAUAACAAUUUUUCAAAGGAAGUGAUGGAAAAAUGGGGUAAUUCGAUUUUAACUUUUCCUCUCUCUUUUCAUGCAAUGUUUGAUGCAGAAACAUGGUGCUGGAUGUUUUGCAAGUUCAUCUCACAAAUGGCACAGGAUAAAAGUUGGAAGCAUGGUACAGUUCGCGGUCAAAAGGUAACUGCAAAAGUUAUUUUCAUAUGCAAAGUUUUAUUCGUGCUGUACUUCCGUAGAAGUUGGAAAGUUGGAAGUGUGUUGUUCUUCAACUUGAGUUUUCCAGAGUAUCCAUAUCAUCAAGUUGAGAAAUAUUCGCAAAUUAACAUAUGUGUCUAAAGUGUUUUUGAAUGUAGAGUCAUGCAUAAUCCUUUUGGAGAACCUUUUUUUCACCUGGUUCUCUUGUUUCCCCUCACAAUCUGAUCGAGGGAUUUAUUAGUAUUUUUAACAUCAUUUCAAAUCCUUUGAUAUUCCAUCCUCUCACCGUUGUGUACAUACAUGUGGCAUAGGAUAUAAUGGCUAGGAUGUGAAUGUACAGCAUAUGCAGUGAAACUGAGAUAUUCUGUUUUCCCUUUCUUUAUUUGUGUGAUGUUACUGAGUAGUGUGGAUGAAGAAAUCGGCCAUAUUUCCGGAUCUUUGAUUCCACCUCAAACUGGAUGUGUUCAUUGGUUAUUAAAACAUAGUGCAGAUGCUGUAUCGCAAACCAACAGGUUCAUCUCUAACUCGUCUUUUGGUUGUCUCUUUAACUGACACCUAGGUUUUUAUUUUGAUAUAAGUGGUACAAAUUUGUAUCCACCUAAUUGGCCUAGCUAAAUUUAUGUUGUCACAUGGUAUAUUCAGAAAGGAGAAAGUACACUUUCUAAUGGUUCCUACUUGAAUACAAUUUUCGAUUUUUUGUUGCCAAUGCAAAAACAAUAUUUGGAAUGCUACUGUUCUACUCAGCUCUCAUAUUAAAAUGUCAUCUGAUGCUCGACAGAAGUCUUAAGAGAUGUAGAGACUGAGACUCCGGGCUACUUGAUAAUGGCGAUCGGUCGCAGAAUUUCAGUCGAUCACCCAAGUUGAGAAAGGGAACCGAGUGAUUAGAGUUCCAACAAUUUUUUCUUUUCUACAUGCAGUUUAAAUGGUAAUUCUCUAUCUGAAUAACAUAAUUGGAUCUCUUUAGCAUGAUGAGAAUCUGACGGUUAUUUGUUUCCAGACACCUUUAUGUUUCAGUGAAGCAGAAAGCUUUGAAGAGUUUUUGUUUUCCCCCAUUACGGUAAUAAGAUGUCCUGUUUUGGCAGAGGAUUAACUUACACUUUUUCCCCUCCCUCUAUUGUACUUAUUCUGGCAGAUUCACUUUUGUGCAAUUUGUGUGGAGCCUCAAGGAAGAGAGUAAUGCGGAGAAAGAUUAUGGAGAAAGAUUAUCUUUUUUGUUCAUCUUUAUUAUUUGUUUCACCAUCAUCAGAACUCCAAAAACAUCAAUAUAUACUCCUCCUGCAGUGGAGAAAGAUUAUGAAGACAGAAACUUUAGACUGCUGCGUACUGCGAGUUUAAUUUUUUUUUUUUUUUCAUUUCUGGAUUUGAGGGUGUAUCCAAUCGAAUGUUGGAAGUACUUCGAAAGUAUGUUUGGUUCAGAAAUUUGUUUCCGGCAAUUCCUGUUAUUGGGACCAUGUAAACUAUGUGAUGGAUUUUUUCGAAUGCUGCUUGUGAGUUUCUUCAACAAUGCCGAACGCGCGCAAGAUUGCGCCUGAUAUCUGUUUUGUUUGUUAACUGUGAGAAUGAUGGAUUGAUUUGUGUGUGUAGCUGCUCCGCAUGCUGCGAGCAACCUUCUUAAAUGCCAUUACAGCAAAAGGUAAUGCUUGAUUUGUAUUAAGCAAUUCAGCUUCUCACUCAAUCCAGAAGCUCUAACCUAUAUCUUGUUGCCUAUGAAAUAGCUUUUGCCCCUCUAUUAGAAUAGCUACUCUAGAAGUGGUUAGCUGAAAAGAAUUGGAUUGAAAUUAAAAAGCUGAGAGAGAUGGAAGAAGUAGAAUAGUACUGAGUAGAGAGAACAUUUUGUUCUGUUUUACUCAAGAAGCUUGGGGUCUGUUUGAUUCAACCUAAAAUCGUGAAAAUUAAUUUUUCAUGGAAAAAAUAAUUAUGUUUUAUAGUGUUUGGUUUGUAGGAAACAAAUAAUUUUUCAUCAACAUUGGAAAAAAAAUCACAUUUGUUUGGUUCGCUAGGAAAAAUAAAUAAAUGGAAAAAAUUUUAUGCAGCUUGAAUUUUUGUUCGAAAAAUAAAUAAGAAAUGAGGUUAAAUGUUUAGAAUGAUAUAAUGUAUUGGUUCUUAAAUCAAUGUUGAGUUCCCUUUCUAAUUUUUCUCAGUAUAUUAUCCUAUCAAAUUAUGAUGCUGGGGCAUUUUAAGUGAGUAAAAAUCAAACUCUUAAUUUACUAUUGUAAAAUAAUUUUUUACAUUUAUUUUUAUUGGAAAACUCUUUCGGGCCUAGGCUACACAAUGCACGGUAACUAUUCUGUUUUAACUUUUUAUUUUUUAGACCGAUCGUCUCUAGAGCAAGUGGUAAAGGGCUUGAUGGUUGGUACUCGAGACAAAGUUCGAAUUCUAGUUGAUUCACAUUUCUAGCUAAGUUUAUUUCUAAAUGAAAUAAAGGAAACAGAUAUAGUACUACAGAUCUCUUUAAAAAAAAAAAAAACCUUUUAUUUUUUAGAGACAAGUAGUAUGUUAUCAUUUUCGUUUAUUUCAUUUCAAAAUAAAUUUAGCUUAAAAUAUAAAUCAACUUAGAUUCGAACUUGGGACCCCGAAUAUCAACUACCAUAUCCUUUAUCACUUCCCAUUGCUCCCUCUUUUAACUUUUCCCCUCCUCUUUUGUAGAUUCUCUUCUUUUUGGAAAGUUAAAACAAUUAAAGACCCUACCGACCAUAUCGCAAUUAAAAGAUUCCUACCUUUUUAAGGUGGCCUUGUUCCCUUAUUUUAACUUUAAUUACUGGAAUUGUCGAAUUAAAAUUUAAUAAUCUGAGACUAAAAGUGUUGAAUAUGAGAAUUUUUUUUAUGUGGUAUUCACAUAUUUUGAUCCUUUCCUUUCUGUUUUAUUCUCCAUUUACUAUCAUAUCUUCCUUACGACCGUGAGAAUAUUUCUUCCAACUUUUAUCAGAUAUCAGUCCACUGUACCUGCAAUGAGACGUGCAAAGUAGGUGCUCCCACUAAUUUGUUUCGUUUAUAAGAGGGAGCAAUCGGAAUCGGAAUUAUAUUCAAAUUAAAAUUUAAGAAUCAAAUUUCAAUAAAAAUCUAAAUUUAUUGUCUAAAUUUGUCUAAAUUCAAAUUUGAAAUUAAAAACUAAAUUUGAAUUCGGUUUUAAAAUUGUAAUUGAUUUUUAAAUUCAAUCUAAAUUAUUAUUUGAAUUUGUAAAAUUAAUUAAUGAGAGAAAAGAGAGUUUAUUUCUCAAUCCCUUCAGGAUUUAAAGUUGAUUCCCACCUUUAUAGUGAACAUCUUUUUGCGGGGGUCGAUUUUCUCCAAAAUGAAAAUCAAAAUACCAAAAUACUAAACUUAACACCAAUAAUAAAAAUGAAUCAUUUUAUUAUCAUAGCAAAUUUUAAAUCCCUCGAACCUAAAAUACCUCACUGUUUCCUCACUAUUUCUUACACCCAGUGAAUUUUCACGCUUUGAGAAUAAGCAUUGCAUGAAUUUUCAGGAAUAUUGCAAUUUUUUUAUUAAAAACUACUAUGUACUACAUUUGUGCACGUUUAGUUCAAAACAGAAAUCGAAAUCGAAAGAGAAAUAAGAAAGGGCCUGAAUCAAAAAGCAAAUAAUAAAAACAAUAAUUUGUUUGGUUCAUAAAAAGAAUCGGAAUCGAAGUCGGAAUCAAAAUUAUGUUCAAAUUAAUAUAUUUAUUAAGUUUAAAUUUGUUAUUCAAAUUUGUAAUUAAAAUUUGAAUCCAAAUUUGAACUUGAAUUUUGAAUAUACAAUUUAAGUUCAAGGUAAAAAUCAAAAUUUAAAUUCUAGAACUAUUAAAGUAAAAUUUGAAAAAUAAAAAUAAUUUGUAAAUUCAUAUUUUUAAUUCAAAUUUGAAAUUAUAAUUUAAUCUAAUAAUUUUAUAUUUAGAUUUAUAUUUGAAUUCAAAUAGUUGUUAGUGUAAAAAAAAAAUUUCUUUCCUCGAUCACUUCGGAAUCAAAGUUAAUUCCCACUUGUAACGAGAGUCACUUUUGAGGGAUUUGGAUCUCUUCGGAAUAGAAAUUGGAAUGCUAAUAUCUCAAUCUAAACACUAAUAAUGGAAAUGACUUAUUUCCACUUUUAUUAUAAAUCUCAAAUCCUACAAACAUUCAAACAUGCUCUAAAGGUUUAAAAAUAAACAGCUAUUUCAAGAGAUUUGAAAACAAAGACUUGUAAGAAACCACUAAGCUAGCUAGCUUAGGGUUUGGUACUCAAACAUUGACUAAGAGAUACAGGGGUUGGAUGUGUUUUUCGUUAUUUUCUAAAACAGGGGAAUAAUAAUAAUAAUAAAUUAACUCUAAAAAAAACAAGAAUUUAUUAUAAAAAAAUUUGAGUUAUUGCUAAGGCUUCGUUUGGGAUUACGGAAAGAUUGCGUUACGUAUGGUGAGAAAUGACGAUGAAAAAAUACCAUAUUUAUUUCCGUACGUAAUAUUAUGUUCCGCAUAUUGUAUUUAGUCGAUUACGAUAUAUUUUAUGCAGUCUCAUCAGAGAACGCAAAAAUAUAUCACUAUAUAUUUUUUCUCAACUCUAUUUUAUAAGUACUAAACUAAACUAAGCCUAAGUCUCAUAAUCAGUUUAACAAGUAGUAGUUAACUCUGCAGUUGGAGGUCGUUGAUCAAGAAACGAAAUCAACGGUAGCCACACCCAACAUCUCAGUGGUUAUGACGGCUCGGGCUUACGAAUCUUCCACUAUUAUUCUGUAAAUAAUAAUAAUGGUAAUAUAAGAAUAAAGCUAAUUUUUUUAAAAAAAAACAACAACAACAAUUUUUUUACGCCGUACAACCGCCUUACAUUUCUGCCACGUGUUCCUUAAUAUCUACGCCCCAUGCAAUUGCACGGGAAAAAAUUUCUAUGUCGCUCCUCCGUGAGAUCCCGAAACAACUUUUGCAGUACGAUAUUGCUUGUUGGUGGGAUCGGCCACCCAACUCUGAACCGUCGCACCAAAAAAAGAAAAUGAUCAAAUUUAAAUUGUAUCUUUAAAAGUGAAUUGUUAUUUGUUAUUUUUUUAAAAAUUAAUUUAUAGUGGAGAGUGGGAGUGGAGGUGAGUGAGUCCAAUUUAAUGCACUCUUUAUAACUCGGGCGCCCACCCAAUCCCAUGUACGCUCCCUCCCCACCACCCCCUCCCCAUUGAAUGCCUAUAUUUACAGGAGGGGCGCCCUUUUAAUUCCUACACAAUUAGGUGCCCUCGUAUUUAUUAGACCCCGCCCAUUUGCCCAUUUCCUACACAAAAUUAGGUGACCCAGCCAUGCCAUGCACCCUUCUUCUUUGUUCCACCCCUUAAUAUCUUAUAUCUUAUAUACAUAUACUAGUGAAAGAGUCCGCGCUCUGCAGCGGGUAAAACUAUAGGAGUAAUUAAUAAUAAGAGAACAUCAGAUGAUGACGCCUUCUCCAAGGAUGAUGAUAGUAAAGAUGACGAUAAUCCAUUCAGCCGCUGCCGAGAGGGAAGAUAUAUAGGCACGCAUUAGUAAGAAAGAGAGGGAGGGAGGCGACGGUGUAUAGGAAAAGAUGAGGAAAAAAAAAUUAAUGAAUUAAUUGGAGAUGAGAAGAUGCGGAUUGUAGAUGGCAGUGGAUGGUUUGGAUGCAUUAAUUAGAAGUCUGGUGUAGAAAAGGGAAAGGAUUAUAACGAAUUAAUUGGAGAGAUAAGUGAAAAUUGUAGAUUAUAGCGAAACUAUUUAAAUGCAUUAAUUAAAAAUUUGGUAGUGAAAAUAUUUAGAUGUAUUAAUUAAUUGCAUUAAUUAAAAGUUUGACGAAGGAAAUGUUGAGGGUCAAAUGCUGGUGAGGGUGAAGGACAACUUGCCAUAUGGCAAAGAUUAUUGGGGAUUCAUAUAAGUUAAUUAAUAGAUAGGUCAAAUACUGGUGAGGGUGAAGGACAACUUGCCAUAUGGCAAAAAUUAUUGGAGAUUCAUAUAAGUUAAUAUAUAUAUAUAUAUAUAUAUAUAUAUAUAUAUAUAUAUAUAUUAUUAUUAUUAUUAUUAUUAUUAUUANNNNNNNNNNNUAUAUAUUAUUAUUAUUAUUAUCUCGAUCUUCUCCGCUGGCUCAACGUUAAUUGCCAACAUAAAAUUUUUCCUCUUUUUUUUUAAAGAAAAAAAGAAAAAAGAAGCUAGUCCGGUGCACGGGGCACCACCACAUUGGAGAGCAGCUACGUACACAGCAAAUGUACAUAGUUGUUGAUCAUCUCUCUCUCUAUUUGUUUCUAAUAUUAUAUGUAUGGAAGUGGAACUCAAUCGAUCCCUCCCUCUCUCUCUCUCACUCUUCUUACCUCUCUGUCUUUCAUUUUGCUCCCAACGACCUCUGACAGCAAUUAAUGGCGGCUUAGGCAGAUAUCCAGCUCAAAGAGCACCAAGUUAGAUCAUAAAGAUAGGGAGAAAGAGAGAGGGGGUGGGGGGUGGGGGAGAGACAUGAAAAGGUAAGAGGGGAGGGUGGUAGAUGGUGAAGAACCCGAAGGAAAUUAAACGCGCAGUGGCGUAUUAAAUGCCUCCCCCCACCCAUCACCUCCACCACCACCACCACCUCCACCACCACCCUUUCUAAUUCUAUAAAACUUGCUCCCUGUGUCUUCUACUCCUCCACUACUCCAUGUGAUCUCACCACCUAUAUAUGACCACCACGUUCGCUAGCUAGCUGAUUUGUGUCCUGCACGUGAAUAUAUAUAUAUAUAUAUAUAUGACUAGCUAAUUAGCAUAUGCUGCUGCUGCUGCUGCUGCUGGGCGCUGCUGCUGCUGCUGCUGCUGCUGCUGCUGCUGGUGGUACUAGUAGUACUGGUAGUAGUAGUACUAGUAGUAGUAGUAGUAGUAGGAUGAUGAUGAUGAUGAUGAUGAUGAUGGAGGAGUACUGGUCGGGGACGUGGGCGGCGGUGGCGUUGGCGUUGGGAGCGGCGUACAUGGCGUGGUUCUGGCGGCUGGCGCGGGGGCUGCGCGGGGGGCCGCGGGUGUGGCCGGUGGUGGGGAGCCUGCCGGGGCUGGUGCAGAACGCGGAGCGCAUGCACGAGUGGAUCGCCGGGAACCUGCGUGGCGCCGGGGGCACGUACCAGACCUGCAUCUGCGCGGUGCCGGGGCUGGCCCGGCGGGCGGGGCUGGUGACGGUGACGUGCGACCCGCGCAACCUGGAGCACGUGCUCAAGUCGCGCUUCGACAACUACCCCAAGGGCCCCACCUGGCACGCCGUCUUCCGCGACCUGCUCGGCGACGGCAUCUUCAACUCGGACGGCGACACCUGGCUGCUCCAGCGCAAGACCGCCGCCCUGGAGUUCACCACCCGCACCCUCCGCCACGCCAUGUCCCGCUGGGUCGCCCGCUCCAUCCACCUCCGCCUCCUCCCCAUCCUCUCCCACGCCGUCGACGCCCGCUCCCCCGUCGACCUCCAGGACCUGCUGCUCCGCCUCACCUUCGACAACAUCUGCGGCCUCGCCUUCGGCAAGGAUCCCGAGACGCUCUCCCCCGGCCUGCCCGAGAACGCCUUCGCCGUCGCCUUCGAUCGCGCCACCGAGGCCACCCUGCAGCGCUUCAUCUUCCCCGAGUUCGUCUGGCAGUUCAAGAAGCGCCUCCAGUUCGGCAUGGAGGCCACGCUCGCCAGCAGCGUCGCCCACGUCGACCGCUACCUCUCCGCCGUCAUCAAGGCCCGCAAGCUCGAGCUCGUCUCCUCCUCCUCGCCCUCGCCCUCGCCCUCGCCCGACCGCCACGACGACCUCCUCUCCCGCUUCAUGAAGAAGGGCUCCUACUCCGACGACUUCCUGCAGCAGGUCGCGCUCAAUUUCAUCCUCGCCGGCCGCGACACCUCCUCCGUCGCCCUCAGCUGGUUCUUCUGGCUCGUCUCCACCCACCCCCCCGUCGAGCGCCGCAUCCUCGUCUACCUCAAGGCCGCCCUCUCCGAGACUCUCCGCCUCUACCCCUCCGUCCCCGAGGACUCCAAGCACGUCGUCGCCGACGACGUCCUCCCCGACGGCACCUUCGUCCCCGNCCUCCUCCGUCGCCCUCAGCUGGUUCUUCUGGCUCGCCUCCCCGCUCGCAUUCGAGGAGGUCGACCGCCUCGUCUACCUCAAGGCCGCCCUCUCCGAGACUCUCCGCCUCUACCCCUCCGUCCCCGAGGACUCCAAGCACGUCGUCGCCGACGACGUCCUCCCCGACGGCACCUUCGUCCCCGCCGGCUCCUCCGUCACCUACUCCAUCUACUCCGCCGGCCGCAUGAAGUCCGUCUGGGGCGACGACUGCCUCGAGUUCCGCCCCGAGCGCUGGCUCAGCCCCGACGGCACCAAGUUCGAGCCCCACGACUCGUUCAAGUUCGUCGCGUUCAACGCCGGCCCGCGCAUUUGCCUCGGAAAGGACCUCGCCUACCUCCAGAUGAAGUCCAUCGCCGCCGCCGUCCUGCUGCGCCACCGCCUCGCCGUCGUCCCCGGCCACCGCGUCGAGCAGAAAAUGUCCCUCACGCUCUUCAUGAAGCACGGCCUCAAAAUGCACGUCGCCGCGCGCGAUCUCAAUCCGAUCGUCGCCGAGCUACGCCGGACACGCCCGGAGGCCUUGGCCGCGCCGCCGCCGGAGAGUCAAGUGAACAAAAGCAGUGCCGUUCCUACGGAGGUUGCAGCUGUUACCGCCUAAUUAAAGUGCAUUUUCUUUUUCCCCUUUUUUUUUCUAAAAAAAAAUUGUUCUUCAAAUUAAUUGGAAUAUAUUUUAGAAUACUGUGGGAAAGUGAGCUGGGUUGGUGUAAUGUAGAUAGAUAGUAAGUAAACAAGUUGGUGUGAGAUUUGGGGUCAAGGGGGAAGAAAUUAAUUAAUGGACAGUGUGUCUAGCUCUAUUCAGAUCAUUAUCUUUAUUACUAUAAUUGUUAUAAUUGGGAGAAAACCAGAGUUUGAUGUCACUUUUAAAGAAUAAUAUAAAUAAAAAGAAGCAUCGGAAUUGGGAUGUAACAUUUGUUGUGGUGGUUAAAAUGUGAACGCCACCAAUCUUAGAAAGUUUAUGAAAGAAACGAUUGUAUCCUUUUAAUUGGAAGCAUUUAUUUUUUUUUGAGGCAUUCAAUUUUGUCCUAGUAGGGUAUCUGAAUUUCCUCCCGCUAAUGGGGCCCAUCUAUUUAAUUAAUUAAAUGAGCAAAUAUAUAUAAAUAUAUAUAGACAUUACAUAAUGAUGUAUUAAUUUCUACAAUCUGUAAAUAUGUAUAUUGGAAUUAGUUACCGUUGUUAAAAUAGUGUGGCCCAUUUUUUU